Molecule: long non-coding RNA, 69517 nt
Filed under: Populus trichocarpa (black cottonwood)
Lineage: Eukaryota; Viridiplantae; Streptophyta; Magnoliopsida; Malpighiales; Salicaceae
Description: long non-coding RNA (PTRI_LNC004369)
Rfam family: MIR480 microRNA precursor family (bases 7604-7767)
Source: RNAcentral
CAAACCUUCCCUAUCUAUAUAAAGGUUGGCUUGGCCUCACACAUAUUGCUUAACCUGUAUACAGCUACUUGUCUUGUGUAUUGACUGACUAAUUGUAGUUAGCAUGGCACGUCAGGCAGACCGUCUUGCUAAGAUUGGGCUGGAGGGCUUUGCAGCCAUAGAUGAGGCCAAGAGGCGGCCACCAGUUAUGAAGGUUCCCUAUGCUCAUCCCACAUAUUACUAUGCAAACCAAAUUCCUGCAACAGCAGUUAUCGACAGCAACGAGGCAGCUCGACGCUACAAGGGGAGGGUUUAUAUCGAUUAUCCAAAGGGGAAACCAGUUCCAUUUUAAAGACCCAGUGAUUAAUCACUUUGCUUUCUUGUAUGCAUAAUCUCCUCCACUUGUGUUACCUUUAGUCCUGUACGAUAUUCUCCCUCUGCUAAACGUAGACGAGGAGCUUCUCUUACUUCUUCAAAUAAAAUUUCUGUGAUUUAUAUAUCAUAAUUUUCUAUUUGGCUGGUCAAGUAUGUAUUGUCAUAAUUAUCUUUCUGACUUCCUAAUUAUCACCUGAUUCACCUCUUACUUAGCAUGGAAUUGAAAGAUACACAAGUAAUUUUCUGUUGAAAUGCUUUGAAGCUCUUCAAGCUGUGAUUUCACCGACUUAUUUCGGAACUGUACAGAGCUCAAUGAUGAGCCGUGGGAAGCGUCUCUGAUUAUUGCACUGUAAGCACGAGUGUACGUAUGAAUAUAAACAGCAGAUCUGCUCCGUUAUUGCCAUAUGCUUAAAUAGAUCGCAGGAUCCGCAAACCACAGGUGAUGACAAGCUUCUUAAUAACUAUUAGAAAAUAAUAUAAAUCAUAUCUUGGACCCUCAUCUAACAACUUAAAUUUUUGGGUUGAGAUGGUUUUUUGAUAUGGUAUCAAAGCCUUGAUAACCAAGUAGUCAUAAGUUCAAAUCUCAUCAUUCUUAUUUAUUUAAUAAAAAUUAAGCACAGGGUAAAGUGGGUCUGUGCAAGUUUCAAACCUAAAAGGCUUUCACUCGAGGAGAUGUGUUAAAGAAUAAUAUAAAUCAUAUCUUAAGACCUCACCUAAUAAAUUAAAUUUUUGAAUUAAGAUGGUUCUUUACAAUAACUUCUAUUCUGACUUCAAUAGUGGAUUUAAGGAUAGAAAACCUGUAGGUUUGUGGUCAAGGAGGUUGGCUCUCUUCCUUAUAUUUUUUAUUUCAAACUUUAAUAACAAUACUCAUAUAAAUUUAUUUUUUCUGAAUGAAACUUGUUAAUACAAGAGUGUUAUUUUGAUGAAAAAGAAAAAUCUUAUUUUUAUCCCAUCACACCCCACCUAAGAAAUUAUGUAAUUAGUUAUUUCUAUAAGCUGUUCCAGAGAAUAUAGUCUUAAAUCAUUAUAUUUUACGACUCAUGAUUGUUUUUUUAAUAUAGCUGGGCUAAGAAAGAAAAAUAAACGGAGUUCUAUCUGCAUUUACAAUAGAAUUUUACAAUAGUGAACAAUAUAUCUAGGAAUAUCAGCGAUGAUGACCAUAGAUGGAUCAUGUGUGAAUUCUUAGCAAAUCAUUACUUGUAUAACCAAAAUUUCCUUCACAGCUCUUUUACUAAGCUGAUUGUCGAUGAAAAGUAAAGGAAAAGCAUGAUUCCCAAUCCGAGCUAUGUGAGCAAGUGUAUCUAGUAAAAAUAUCUCAUCUCCCAAGAAAACGAGAUUAGUAAGCCUCCCUUUAAAGCUUUGCUUUGCACACCUUUUCUUGAUCUUUCCCAAUCCUUCAUUAUAAAUGGGACCCAUCAAAAACAUGAGAUGUGCUUUAACCUCCUCCAUAUUUCAUCUUAGCCUAGAAGGAUAAACAAGAAUAUUAUUGCUUCUGAAACAUAACGAUUGCAAGCAUCGCCUUUCGGUGAACUUUUGAUGACAUGAAACUGCCACAAAUUGGGUCCUAUUCCGAGUGAGUUUUCUUUUUCUGCUCUGUUAUCGCAUAUAUACAACUGAAAUCUUUAAGUCCUCUUCAGGGUACCCCUGAAAGAAAAUGGUCUAUCAUGGAAAGUCCUGAGGAAUCUGAGGCAUAUAAUAUGAGAUAUAUAUCGUCCCAAGAUCAUAAAAAUGAUAAAUCUUAAUCUUAUCAGGUGUAGCCAUGAAAUGGGAUCAGAACCUAUUUUCCUAAUUUUAUUAACUAAAGGGAAAGCCACAACCAAGUCUCUGUACUAUAUGAUUGUCCAUUAAUACAGAAUCUAGCACAUCCUUGAGUAGCUAAAGAAAGCUAGAAUAAAGUACCUCUAGCAACAUCUUCACUGUUUAUUUUCUAAUAGUUUUGUUUUGUUAAAUCGCACUUGAAAAUACAGAACCUGUUCUUGAUAUUUCAUGGACAAUAUUUACUCUAGUUGUGCAAGUAACGUAUACACAAAUACCUGUAAUAUUGCAUCAAAAUUCAAACUAACAACAGUAUGUGUAUACUUGUGGAUAUGGAAUCAGCCAGAAGUGGAGAACCCCAUAAAUCUUGAAAACCUCUGUUGAUUGUGAUGGGUCCAAAAAGCAGAAAGCAAGUUACAAGCUGCCUGCUUUCUGCUAAUAUAUAUAAUGCUGCAUAUAUGACCUAUUUUGUACCAAGGCAAACCAUACAGUUUUAAUUGUUCUUUGAGUUAUAGUGUUAAUUUCACAUAUGGCACGUCAGGUAGAUCGUCUCACAAGGAUUGGAAUGGAAGGCUUUGCUCUGAUUGAGAAUAGUUAUGGCUGGCCUGGAAGGUCUGGAAGACUCCCCUCAACUCAGGUACAGCAAAAUCAUCAUCACUAUCAUCAUCAUCAUCAUCAUCGUCAAUACCAAGAUCAGCAAACAUUGGUUUAUCAGGGAACUCAAAUUACCACGGUGAGGAUGCCUGUGAUCAUUAGCAAUGAGGUAGUUCAAUACUAUGGUAACAUGGUGAAGAAGCCUGUUAUUCCUAGCAAUGAGGCAGCUCAAUAUCAAGGGGGUGUGGUGAAAGAGCCUGUUAUCACUAGCGAUGAGGCAGCUCAAUAGGAUGGUAGAAAGAAACGAUUUCGUUUAGAUUAUUAGGUUUCAUGAAUUUACUGAACAUGCUUAAUGUCAUGUAUGAGUAAUCUGAGUCACUUGGUUCUUAAAUCUCCUGGUUUCUUACUCAUAGAUAAAGCAACUUGGUCUGCUAAAGAACCUUGUAAAUUUUAUCUUUAGAGCUCCUGUUGUCACGCAGUUUUCUUAUCUAUAACGUAAUCAGCUUUACUGUAACUCUUUAUGUCUCUCUCUCUCUCUCUAUUUUUGUGUGUGGGUUGUGAUGAUCUUUCUUACUUCUGAUAAGCCAAAUGAUUCUCAAAGCACACCUUGGAAAACAACAGCUAAGGCAAGGCGAAAUGAAAGCUAAAGCUAGGAAUUAAAGAACAAAACAACAUAGAAUAUGAAGGAAAAAAUGAAUAAAAAAACGAAACAACAGAAUUAAAAAAAUAAAAAAUUAAAACAAAAGGAAAUUAGCCAAAAACAAUUGGAAGAAAAUUACUAUGGUAGGAGUUUAUGUUAAAAGAAAGAUAGGUGUUGUAUAAUAUCAAAAAUAGUAAUGCAAAGUCAAAACUCAAUAAGAAGAAGAAGAUUGAGAGAAACGUAUACUUUUAUUAAGUGUUUCUCUCUAAACUCUUUUAGUUAUUCUCUCUGCUUUUAUUCUUUUUAAAAAUGCUAAAUUACAAGUCUUUUAUAGGUAUAAAGUCCUAGAUAAUCAAGGAAUUAAACUAAUACAAGGAAAUUCUAAUAUGAACAAAAAUUGUAUUCUGCCUACUAGCUAAAUCAGUCGACUAGUUCCCAACCAGUGGAUCGGUUCCUCUAUUCUUCAUAAAAACAAGAAAUCGAGUUCAAUUUUCAAAACCCCUUUCUAAACUUGAUUUCUUCAUAACUCGCACAAAUCUCUUAUUUUGGUAAAAACAUCAUAUUCAACUGGUUUUGUGAAAAUAUCUGCAACUUGCUCUUGUGUCUUUACAUACUUGGCUUCAACUUCUUUGUUUGUAAUGCAAUCUCUUAGGUAAUGAAAUCUUGUGUCAAUGUACUUAUUUCUGUCAUGAAAAACUUGAGUUUUAGCUAAGGCAAUAGCUAAUGAGUUGUCCACAUAAAUCUAUGUAGACUUCUCUUAUGGGAUCCGUAAUACUUUCAGUAAUCUUAUUAGCUAUAUGGAAUGACAAACACAUGAUGUAGUAGUUAUAUAUUUAGUUUCACAUGUUGAUAAAGUGACUAUAGAUUGCUUUUUUAAACACCAUGUGAAUGUUGUGUCUUCCAUGUAGAAAACAAAACCAAUAGUGCUCUUUUUAUCAUCCAUAUCUCUAGCUCAAUCACUAUCAUUGCAACCCACAAUAUCAAAGCUAUUAGAAUAUCCAUAAAACAAGCCAAAAUCAACAGUACCUUUGAUAUACCGAAGAACUCACUUCAAAGCUUUGAAGUGUGUCAUAGUUGGUGUAUCCAUAGACCUACUCCCAAGUUCUACUCCAAAAAGAACAUAUGAACAAGUGCAUGUCAAAUAUCUCAAACUCCCAACUAGGCUUUUGAAUGUUGUAGAGUUUAUCUUCUCCUCUUCAUCAUUCUCUAUUAUCUUCACUCCACACUCAACUAGAAUAUUCUUUUUCGCACAAUCUUUCAUCUUGAACUUCUUGAGAAUCUCUUGGCUUACAAAGAUUCCAUCUUCUCCUUGUUUGAUCUCAAUCCCUAAGUAAUAUGUCAUAAGACCAAUGUCUAUCAUUUCAAACGCCUUGAUCAUUGUUUGCUUGAAGUCUUCAAACAUCUUUGGAUUAUUUCCUAUAAAGAUUAAGUCAUCCACAUACAAACAUAUAAUAAGAGUAUCACCACUCUCUUUGAUCUUUACAUAGAUAGCAUAUUCAUAGGAACAUUUAACAAAUGCAUUCUUUAAGAAAAAGCCAUCAAAGUGACUAUAGCAAGCCCUUGGGGUUUGCUUCAAUCCAUAUAAGACUUUGUUCAACUUUAGUACCUUGUCUUUAUGUCCCUUCACUUCAUAACUCAUAAGUUGCUUAAUGUAGACCUUCUUCUCAAGAAAACCAUUAAGAAAGGCUGAUUUGACAUCCAUUUGAUAGAUUCUCCAUCUAUAUUGGGUAGCUUUGGCAACGAUUAAUUGAACGGUCUCCAAUCUAGCAACGAGAGCUAAAACCUCAUCAUAGUCAAUCUCAUACUUUUAGCUUUCGCCUUUUUUCCACUAACCUUUCUUUGUACCUCUCCAUUUCUCCUUCGGCAUUCUUCUUUUCUUUAUAGAUCCACUUGACACCUAUUAGCUUCUUUCCAUUUGGUCUACGAACCAAUUUCUAUGUGUCAUUCUUCUUAAUUGAUGCAAGCUUCUCAUCCAUAGCGAUUCUUCAUUUUUCAUCCUUUAUUACUUCUUCAAACAUUAUAGGAUCACUUGUAGCAAGGUGAUAAUAUAGUGUUACAUCAUCAUCAAUAGGAGUAGUUACCUCAUAUAGCUCAUCAAGGCUCCACAUUCUUUUUGGUGGACUUGAUGGGUUGCCACUACUUGAACUUUCAUUAGAAAAAAAAAAAGAAAAGAGAUAAAGGUAAAGAUGACACCAUUGGUGAUUAUGGAGGUGUAGUUUGUUCUUGAUGAUCUUCAUAUCUCUCCUUCCCUUUAUCAGAACAGACAAGGCUUCAUCUUCUUCUUUCUUCUUCUUUUAUCUUCUCUCACAGGGCCAUUUCUUUUUCUUUCUCUUCUCUUCUCUCUAUCUCUCCUUCUUAGCUAAAAACAAGCAUUCUAUUAUCUUCUCAUCCUCAAGUACGUUGUCUUUUUUCAUUUUCUUUGGGUUUAAUAACAAUCUAUUUUCUUUUGUUUUGUUUUUCUUUUUUUUUUCCUUUUAAUUAUCAGUCGAAAUUAAGCAUACCAUUAAGGUUGGAAUUUUUCAUUCUUUUCUCUUCCCCUUUUUAUGUUUUUUGCAAUAUUUUUGUUUUUUGUCAUUAUUUUUGUUCAAUUUUGUGUUCUUAAUAAUUUUAUGAAUUAAUAAAUGUGUUGAAUUUUAGUUGUUAUUGAAAUAUUGCAUUAUUUUGUUGAAUUUUAGCUAUUUUUUUUUCAAAUUUGUUGUUCAAUUUUAAUUAAAUGUGUAGGAUUAAUUUUAAUUAUUAUUUUGUAUUUAUUCCAUAUAGAAUAAUUUUUUGUAAAUUUAGGAUUAAAAAUAUUAUAACUUAGAAAUAAUUGUGUUGAAUUUUAGUUGUUAUUAUAAUAUUUUUUGCAUUAUUUUGUUGAAUUUUAGUUGUUUUUCUUUUCAAUUUUGUUGUUCAAUUUCAAUUAAAUGUGUAGGAUUAAUUUUAAUUUUUGUAAAUUUGAAAUAUUUUUUUUUAAAUUUAGGAUUAAAAAUAUUAUCAUGUAGAAAAUGAAAAUUUUCUAUGAAAUUUAAUUAUGCUAAAUUGUUAGAAGAAAUUGAAUAAAAAUACCAGGCCUAGUGGAAGAAAUAUGUUGUGUAUUUGUAGGUUUAAAACUUUUGGGUAGUCUUCUGUGUAGGGGAGGUGCUGCCAAUUGUUUUUAAAAAAAAUACGAAUCAUUUAAUUUUUUUUAUUCAUUAAUUUGUGUAGAUGCCUAUAGAAAAGUCUAAUGCACGUCAUGAGGACAAGAUUGCUGCUAGUUCUUCUAGUAGCGAUGCUGACGACCACGAGUCAUUAGGUGCCAAUAAAAAAUAGGAACUUGAGGCACAUGCAUCAACUCACGACGCGGGCUUGUCGAGUGCAAUGUUGCAACGUCGAGGGGGGGUCCCUUCACAAUGGGAUCCAUUUACUUGCAAGUAUGAGGCCUAGUGGAAGGACGACCUUUCAAUGUAAGUUUUGCUUUCGCAAUGACAUGUUUAAUAAAUUUUCAAAAAAUAAUUUCAUUUAAUGAAUGCAAUUUCAGGUUUAUAAAUAUUGAGGCUGCGAGAACAAUAACAUCGAUCUAAAAUCAUCGAUAGAAAUUUCAUUGUUUUAAUGGAGCUAGGUUUCCAAACAUCCUGAAUGGAAACUGCAGCUCAUUGCAUGAUUUUCAAGGUUCAAGGUUGGUAGUAACUUAAAUAUUUUUUUAUGUUAAUUUGGUUAGUUUAUUGAAAUUAUUGAAUUUUUUCUGAGAGAGUUGGAAAAGCAUUACUGCAAAUAUCACUUCUACUAUUAACUCAUCGACGAAAUUACAGAUGGUAUUCUAUCGGUGAUAUGUUAUAUUUAUCGAUGGAUAUACCGAUGCACAAAUAAAAACACUGAUGACAUUGCAUACAGUAUUCCUGUUUGUGAUAUGUUAAAUUUACCAAUGGAGAUACUGACGGAAUAAAACAGAUAAUUUUUUUUUGGCGUGCUUUGUUUGUCUAUAAAUUCAUUGGUAUAUUUAUUACCGAUGGACUCACCAACAAACCAUAAAUUAUUGGCGAGAGUUUUUUCGAUGGACUGUCUCCAUCCGUGAGCCCGUUGACAAUAUACAUACCAAUGGACUGUGAGUGUGAAUACUGACAAAAAUUUCUGUUAGUAAAAUUGUUAAAUCUAGUAGUGAUUGCAUGAUCCACCGCUAGAAGUGAUGAGUACAAGUUAUGACCAUUUUAAGUUGUUGUUUCUGGUCUGACAUGACUAGACCUUCUCUUGGACCUAGACUUGUCCUACUAGUCUAUAAAUAUAUAUGUUAGAACAUCCAUAUAAUCUGUCUAGAGCAGAUACUCAUCUAAUUGUGGCAGACCCACAUAUGAUAGCUCAGAAUCACCUGUUAUUGCAAGCCCAACUACAUCAUUAAUGGUUUCUCAAGGUAAGUCAUGAGGAAUUUGAAGCAUAUAAAAUGAUAUAACUUGUCCCAAUAUCAUAAAAAUGUUAAAAAAAUGUGAGUAUAUGAACCCAUGAAGCGGGAUCAGAAUCUAUUUUCCUAUUGUUAUUAACAAAACGGAAAGCCAUAACUAACUGUUUGUACUAUAAUAUUGGGAGUGAGAGGUACAAUGUCCAGAAUGCUUCUAAGGAUAACCAUAUGUCCAUAUCCAUAAGAUCUCAAUCGAUUGCCCCUUACUACAGAAUCUAGCACAUCCUUAAGUAAAUAAAGAAAGCUAGAAUAAAGUGCCUUCACUGAUUAUUUAGCAUUACUGAGCAGGCCAAGUCUUCACUGCUUAUUUCCUAAUAAUUCCUUAUUGUGGAAUUGCACUUACAAAUAAAGAACUUGUUAUUGAUAUUUUCGUACAGAAUUUCUCUCUCGAUUAGUCGGUCAAUAAUGUAACUUCGUUUAUUCGGAUUUGAGGCCGGCCAUGAGAUGGAGAGGUUGUGUCACAUUAAUUAUGUCAUGUUAUAUGGAAUCAGAUUCACCAUUAUUAAACUAAAGCGUCUCAUCGAUUCUACGAAACUUGUCGAAAGGAAUCAUUUGUUCAAUAAUUGAAUGCGAUUUUUAUCGGGUUCACCUGACGAUCCAACCUCCAUCCACAAAUCCGGAUCGAAUUCCGAAUGGGUCAAAAUAUCGUCCCCGUAUCUCUCCCUCAACCGAUUAUUAUAGGUCUCCUGAAAAUAAAAAAAGUAAUCAUCAUAUUCAAUUCAAUAAACAUAAUAACUUACAAAAUAAAAUGGUUGAACAAACAUACCAUGAAAUGUUGAGCACGGUUAUCAACGAACUGUUGCGCCCCCUUUUGGCGGUCUUGACUCCGCACGUGCGUCUCCACAAACAGCUCCAUCGGGCUUGGCUCACGUCCAAGAGACGUAGCCUAUAAUGAAAAAAGAUUUAUUAACAACUUAAUUUAACGAUAUAUUUCAUUUAAAUUAAUCUUACCAUCCGUUUCGCAUGUGUAGCAAACGGAACGGAGCCGCCAGUGUGCGUUGUUACUGAGCCAUGAAUUGGCCGAUUCCGGUUGCCAACACCGGACUGUGAGCGUCGUGUAAACCGCUCAGACAUCACGUGCUCAAGAUAGUGCGGCCAUAUAUCUUUUGGGAUGUAUAUCGGUUUGAAAUUCCUCCAAACCGUAACAUCGUUCCAGCCUUGGAAACCCCUAUCUCUAGCGGUUUUUUUUGCCCUUUUUUGUGCUUCAUACCAAAAAUCACGCAACCAAAAAUUACAUUUCGAAAGAUAAAUUUUUGUCUAAAAAACAUCUUGUAUUGUUUUCGAUGUUACCUAGUUGCCGCGUGAUUUUCCCACACCCUCCUCGCAACAGUGUUAUGCUCACUGUCCCAGCAGAAUUUGUCCUGUGUAUAAAUAAUUAAUUUUAAAUAAAAAUAAUAAUUUAUUUACAAUUAUAUUAAUAAUUUAUUAGAAAUAAGCUGAAAAUUAUAAAUUAACACCAACCUCAAAUUUGUCAAACCAUGCAUUGAUUUGAGGCAUCCAUUCAGGAUGCUUGGAUAUCUGACUCCAUUGAAACAAUGGAAUCUUCAUCGACGAUUUAAACGCCGAUGAUAUUACUCGGGCAGCCUCAAUGUUUGUGAACCUGAAAAUAAAUGAAAUAAAUUCAAUAGUGAUUACUUCAUAAGUUAUGUUGUAAUUUUUUUUAAAAAAAAAAACUAAAACCUUAACAAACUUACAUUGAAAGGUCGUCCUUCCACUGUGCCUCGUACUUGCGGGUAAAUUGAUUCCGCUGCGAAGGCACGCCGCCUCUGCCCUGUGAAGUAGCGCUGGAAGAGGCAGCAUUGGUUGACGACGCAGGUGGUGUAGGUGCCUCUUCUUGAGAGGCACCUAAGGAAAUAUCAUCCUCGCUGCUAGACGAACUAGUUGCGACCAUACGUGAGCGACCAGCUUUGGUUUUCAUUCUACGCACCUACACAAUUUUAUACAAAUAAUUAUAUAAUUAAAUUCAAAUGUUAAAAAAAAAUUCGACAGCAUCUCCCCUAUACUGGAUACUACCCAAAUCUACAAACCUGCACAUAUUAACAAUAGCCACAACCAAUUGACCCAAUCUAUACUAACUAUUCCAACAUAUUCAAUUACUAAUCCUAAGGUAAUUCAACAUUAAGAAUUACAAUUCAACAAAUUAUUCAAUAAUUAUGCCAAUACAACAAUAAAAUAUAUUCAAUAAAUAAAUAAAAACUCUAGACUAACAAUUAAAAUUAAUGGAAAAAAUUAAACAUAAAUCAUGCAAUAAUAGAGUAAAAUUAACAAUUAUUUCAAAAUAUUCAAUUACUAAUACUAAGGUAAAUUCAACAUUAACAAUUACAAUUCAAAAAAUUAUUCAAUAAUUAUGCCAAUACAACAAAACAAUAAAUUCAAAAAAAACUCUAGACUAACAAUCAAAAUAAAUGGAAAAACUUAAACACAAAUUAACUAAUAAUAAUUAUGCCAACACAACAAUAAAAAAUAUUCAAAAAAUUCAAAAAAAAAACUAUAGACUUUAGGAAUCAAAUAUGCUUACUUUAAUAAUGUGUUGAAUUCAAUACUUUAUCUACAUUACAAAAAAUACACCAAAACAAAAAACAUAACAAAAAAAAAUAGCAAAAAAAAAACCCCUAAAGUAAAAUGAAAUAGAAGACACACAUACCUUUUAAACUGAUGAAGAUUCACAAGAAAACUUGCUAGAGAUGGUAGGUGAAAGCUUUGAAGAAUGGAGAGGAAAAAAAUCGAAAUUUAAGGUGAAAAACGGAGGAGAAGAAAAAAUGAACUGAAGGGGCGGUCGCUGGAACUUAUAUGGCAGUUUUACCGACGGAUUCACCGAGGGAUAUAAAAUUAAUUAUUAUUUUAAUUUAUUCUGUCAGUGAAGUGUCAAAAAUCCGUCGGUAAUUUUUAAAUUUCGCACCAAAAUUUUUAAUGACCCUCCAUAUUUUUCGUGGUCUGUCGGUAAUUUCGUCGGCAAGAUGACGCGGUCAGAGAUGCAUUUAAUGCACAAUCUUUUGGAAUUCGCACAGUCCGUCGGCAAUUUUGUCGGUAAAAUUGACCUGCCGACAACUUACCGACGGACUUAUAUCCGUCGGUAUUGUCGUCAGUGAUUGUGGCAUUUCAAGUAAUUAUUUUCGAACUCUCUGUGAAAUGCCGACGGACUUAUUCUGUUAGUAUGGACGUCGGUGAUUGUGGCAUUUCAAGUAAUUAUUUCAAGUAAUAAAUAUUUCAUGUUACAAAAUAUAUCAUUCAUAAUCUAAAUUACAUGAAAAAAGGGGUUUUACACAGGGCUUCAUUUUGAUAGUUAGUCAGAAUUUUCUUCUUCUUUGUCCUCAAUUGAAUAGUCAUCACCUUUAUCGCAAUCUUCAAUAUGGAUAUCAUCUUCUUCAUCGACAUUUGCUUGUCCGCUAGAGCUCAAAACAGCAUUCAACUCCUCUACGUGAACAUCAACAAGACUAUCAUCGAAAACAUGAAAAUUUGAAUUUUCUUCCAAUUCAAUCGAAUGAGCAACUCAAUAUGGUUCAACCACCUCACUAACUUGAAAGACUUCAUCUCGCACACUUGUGUCUUCGUUCUCAUCCUGAACAACCUCGACACGACCCCGGGGUUUUGUUUUUAAAACGGACAACCAAUCCACUCUUGAUCGAUCCUUUCUAAAUGAAGGGGUGUAUGUGUAAUAAACUUGUUGACAUUGCUUUGCGAAAACAAAGACAUCGUUUUUGUUGCGGAGUCUAGCUUUUGAGUUGAUUUCGACCAGACCAUAGUGCGGAUCAACUCUGAUUCCUCUGUCAGUCGUGUCAUACCAAUAACAUUUGAAUAAAAACACUUUAUUCUACUCGUUAUGAUAUUGCAGUUCGACGACCUCUUCUAAUCUACCAUAGUAGUCAACUUCUAACUCACUACUAGUGGAUCCCUUAACACAAACACCGCUGUUGUAUGUCUUUCUUCCUUGCCCGUAUUCUUCAGUAUGGAAAACAUAUCCAUUGACAAAAUACCCGUUGUAGCACUUACAUUUUCUUUCAGGCCCCAGGCUUAGUGAAGACAAUGACUUAGGCGCACUCCUUCCCAUUUGAUAAACCUUGUAUGUAAUGUACAUCAAUAAAUAGUAAAUGAACGAGAAUCUCAUAAUGACAUGCAUACGUACAGUAAUUUUGCAAGUUAGAAUGAGUUUGUGAUAGUGCUUACAUGUGUUCUAGACCACGUGACAAAGUGUUCAUCUUGUAAUUGAAAGAUCUGGGAUUCGGUCAGCUAUGAGUUAUUGGAGAGCAAAUAUUGUCGAUGUUGCCUGCAAGUGAUAAUGAGUGUAUGAUAUUAUAAUAAAUAAUUAAUAGUAUAUUACUAACAAAGUUUAAUUACUAUACACAUAUAUAUAUAUAAACCUUACUGAAUAAAAGGUCUCAGCUCAUCACAGUUAAAUAUAACAUAUUUGUGUGCUUAUUUGAACUCUAUUUCCGACAAAUAUCUUCCUCUUACGCCAUUUUUAGGUGUGGGUCGUCCAGUGUUAGAGAAUAUUGACAAGUUUCCACUGGAAGGCACUUCACCGCCAUCAUCAUACCGUGGAACGCGAUUGAUUCUCAUUCUUAGAUGAGGUUCGAAAUAGUACGAUAUAAAUGUUGAGAUCUCCUCAACAAUAUAGGCCUCACAUAUCGAAGCCUCAACGUGCGCCUUGUUCUUAACCUUUUUCUUGAGAUUAAACAAGUACCUGCAUUGAAUUAAUCAAGUAUUUUCAAUUAAGAAAAACAUAGAAAAUACUUUUAUAUAUGAAUUACAUUGCAACUGUAAUAUCUAACAGUUCGAAUGGGUACAUCCAUCUAUAUUGGACCGGUCCUCCAGCUUUUGCCUAGAACGGUAGAUGUAUAGGGAGAUGCUCCAUUGAGUCAAAAAAUGAUGGAGGGAAUAUCAUCUCAAGUUUGCAUAGUGUCUCAACGAUAUUCGUUUGAAGCCUCUCAAUGUGCUCAACAUUCAACUUGCUGGAGCAUAUAUCUCUGAAGAAAUGACUGAUCUCCGUAAGUGCAUCUCAUAUUCCCUUUGGCAACAAAUCACGAAAAGCUAAUGGGAUGAGUGUUUGCAUAAACACGUGGCAGUCAUGACUCUUCAUUCCAUACAAUCUGCAGUCCUCUAUAUUAACCAGCCUUGAUAUGUUUGAUGCAUGUCCAUCUAGAAAACGUAGACUCUUAAGCCAUUUAUAGACUAGCAGUUGUGCGUUUUUCUCUAACACGAAGCUUGCUCUUGGUUUUGCGACCUGUGACUCAUCAUAAAACAACUCCAUAUUUUUACGGUUACAGUAUAAAGCUAUAUCCAAUCUAGCCUUGAUGUUGUCCUUUGUCUUCCCCUUCACAUCCAUGACGGUGUUGAAAAUGUUCUCAAACACGUUCUUUUCGAUGUGCAUGACGUCAAGGUUAUUGCGGAGCAUAUUGGUCUUCCAAUAAGCAAGCUCCCAAAAGAUACUUCGCUUUACCCAAUUAUGGGUCAAACCAAAACCAGGAAACUUUUGCUUACCUGAUUGAAGGCCAAACACAAUGUCACCGUACUCUGAUACAACAUCAUGCAAUUCUUCACCAGAAAGACGCGGGGAUGCAACAUCUUUUUCAACUCUGCCAACAAAGAAAUCUUUUCUGUUCUUUCUAUACCUGUGAUUAAGUGGCAAGAAACGACGGUGACAGUAAAAAAAAGAAGCUUUACCUCCGUUUGCUAGCGUGAAUGCCUUGUUGUUUUCCAUGCAGUAUGGACAUGCGAGUUUCUCAUGCGUGCUCCAACCAGAAAGCAUUCUAUAAGCUGGAAAAUCAUUGAUAGUCCACAUCAAAGCAGCCCUCAUAAGGAAAUUUUGUUUCCUCGAUAUAUCAUAAGUCAGAGCUCUGGAGGACCACAACUGCGCCAACUCAUCAAUCAACGAUCGAAGACAAACAUCUAUAUUCCGCCCUGGGCUGCUUGGACCGGGUAUGACAGUAGAUAAAAACAUGAACUCCGGCCUCAUACACAUUCCCGGUGGCAAGUUAUAAACUGUGAGUAUGACCGGCCAACAAGAAUAAGGAGCAGCAAAUGACCCAAAUGGGUUGAAUCCGUCUGUACACAACCGAAGACGCACAUUCCUUGAUUCAGCUGAAAAGUGAGGAUGAAGACUGUUAAAGCAUUUCCAUGCUUCGCCAUCAGAAGGAUGCACCAUCACUCUAUCAACCGCAUUAUGUGCUUGGUGCCAUGUCAUGUGCUCAGCAGUCCUUGGUGACAUGAAUAACCUCUACAGUCUAGGUGUGAUCGGGAAGUAUCUAAGUUUUUUAUAUGCCACUAGAGUCUUUCCCCUGCCAGUUCUCGGUUUGUAACGGGAAUGCCCGCAUGUCAUGCACUCUGUCCUCUCAGCAUUUUCAAGGUAGUAUAACAUGCAGAAGUUAGGGCACAUGUCAAUUUUCUGGUAUCCUAAACCGAGGGGUUUCAUCAUGGACUUCGCAGCAUAGAAGUUCUCUUUCAGCCUGUCCCCUUCAAGUAAAAUUCUUCUCACCCAUUCAAUAAUGUUGUCAUACCCGACCUCACUCAACCCGUGAUCUGACUUGAUGGUGAACACCUGUGCUAGGGCCGAUAAUUUACUGUGGUUCGUGCAGCCAUCCCAUAAUGGUUCAUCAGAAUCUUUCAACAAAUCAAAAAACCUAGCUGCAUCUGCAUUAGGUUCUUCUUCUACGAUUCGACAUUGACUGACAUUACCUUGAUUCAUUCUCAUUGCAUCCAUAACUAUAUUUAUGUAAGGAUUAGUGUUGUCAUUUGCCGCUUCAUGCACGUUGCUAGCACUAGAAGUAGACCCAACCACCGUUUCUCCCAUUCUCCUCUUACUAACAAAUACUUCUCCAUGUGCAUACCAACACUGGUAAUUCUCCAUAAACCCUUUGUGUAGAAGAUGCAUCAUUACAACAUCUGGAUGCAGAUAUUUUUUAUUUUGACACUUCCUGCAUGGACACCUAAUACCGCCUCUAGUAAAAUUUAUCGGAAUAGAUGUUGCGAAAUUAAUAAAACCUUGAACCCCGUUACAAUAAUCAAUCCUCCGCAAUCCUUGGGGUGAAUCUCAAUACAUCCAUGAACGAUCAUCCAUGACUUAUAUCGAACCUCUAUAAAAUUAUGAUGACAUCAUGUAUUAAUUAACUAAGUUAGGUAAAUAAACUUGUAAAAAUAUUACUUUACCUCGAGAUUAUCCAACAAACCAAUCACAACUUCUCAUAAAUAUUAAAUAUUCAUUAUCAUUUAUCAACGUCCAUACAAAUUAAUAUAUAUAAAUUUACAGAAAUUACCACUCUGCAAUACCAUUAAUAAAACUUUAAACAGACCCAUUAAGCAAGCUAUUAAUUAUUUCAAAACAACACAUGUAAUUCAGUAAUUCCAUAAAGUUUUAACAAUUUACAAACAAAUACAAUCUUACAAAAUCUAAAACAAACCAUAACAGGUAUAGAAUUAUACAUUCAUAUACUACAAGUUUGUUUGAGAAAUAACAAUAAAACAUGUACAUCUACUAACAAAAUACAUAUACUAAAAAAACAAUAAAAUUGACAUUUAAAUGUUAAAAUUUAAAAAGAUAGAAUUACUUACAAAAAUUGAUAAAAUCCGUCGGUAAAUCAGAAUAUGGAUGUUGUGACCACAAAACUUUCAAGAAAUAUAACUUGUUGUGCUGAGAUGAGGGAGAUUUUUGUUUGGGGGGGGGAGGGGGGCUGGUUGUUUGCAGAUGGGGAGAGUUGGGAUUAGGAAGAAGAAGGAGAAAUAGGGGAGGAGAGGGUCGGUAGAGAGGGCAUUUAUUAACUUUUUCCGACGGUUUCACCGAUGAAAUUAUCAAUUGAUGAGUCCGCCAGCUAUUCUGACGGAAAAAUCGACACGUCACCGUAUGGAUCUUCCAUUUCGAAUCCCUCGGUGAUUCCGUCGGUAUUUCAAGCAGUGAACCGGUCACGUCACCGUACGGAUCUGCCAUUUCGAAUCCCUCGGUGAUUUCGUCAGCAUUUUAAACGGCGAACCGGUCACGUCACUGUGUGGGGUUGUCGUUUUGAAUCCGUCGGUAAAAAUAACCCCGCCAAAACCUCUACGUUUGCGACCCGCCUUUUUUUUUAAAUUCAAAACGUUUUCCGUCCGUAAUUCAGUCGGUAACUACCGACGGACACUUGUUGUCGGUAGUUACCGACUGAAUUACGGACGGAAAGGUUUUUGUCGGUAAUUUCGACCUCAAAUUACUGACAGAAAUAUUCCGUCGGUAAAUCCGUUGCUAUUGAGUGAAUUUCUAGUUGUGAAAGGGGCGCAUACGUACCACCCAUCUGUGAUCUCAAUCCAUGGCCAUUCUACGGGUUCAUCAUAAUCCGCAUAGAGUCGUUCAUAUUCUUCAAUGAGAUGGGUCGUAUGUUGUUCCAAGGUCGCGAACUCCUGAGACUGGGUGGUCAAUAUCGAUUGCAAGCUCCCAACGGUUGAGACACUACGGGCCACCUACAAGUUGGUCGUGGAGUUGGAGAGUUUGUACACCUGAUUUCUAUCGGGUCCACCAGAUGAUCCUGCCUCCAUCCACAAAUCCAGAUCGAAAUCCAAGUGGGUCGAAGGAUCGUUCCCGUAUCUCUCCCUCAAUCGGCUGUUAUAUGUCUCCUGAAAAUAAAAAAACUGAAAUCAUCAAAUUUAAUUCAAGUAAAUAAUAAUUUACAAAAGAAAAUGGUUGAACGAACAUACCAUAAAGUGUUGAGCGUAGUAGUCAACGAACUGUUGCACCUCUUUUUGGCAGUCUUCACUCUACACGUGCGUCUCCACAAAAAGCUCCAUUGGGCUUGGCUCACGUCCAAGAGCUGUAGUCUGUAAGAAAAAAAUGUUGCAAGUAAAAUAAAUUUAUAAAUAACAACAAAUUAAUUAAAGAUAAAUGUGAUUAAAAUUAAUUUUUUUGUUAUUUUUUAGGCUUUGUUUGGAAAAACAAAACCUAAUUUUUUUGUAAUAAAACUGUCGAAACAAGCAUAAUGGGGUGUUUGCCAAACACACCCUUAAACCAAAAAACCCUUUUAGCAAAAAUAUUGCAAGCUAAACAGGGUCUUAACCCUUUGACCCAUUCUUGACCCAUCUGGGUUGACCUGAUCGAGUUGACCUGACUGGGAUGACCCAAAAUCUUUGGUUUCAACCAUAAAUCGAACCAAAGAUCCUGGUUUGACCCGAAAACAACUCAAAAAGAAAACAAAAGCCAAAAAACAGAUUAAACACCAAAAAACAUGAAAAAACUCGAAAAUAACAAAUCAAAUGCAAAAAAAAAUGAAGAACACGAAUAACAUGAAAAACAUUAAAACUCAAAUUCUAGCAACAUGAAUUCUAAUCUAGACCAUAUUUCAGGAAAUAAAAAGCACAUAAAGGAUGGAAAUCAAUCAUUGAACAAUAAUUAAGCAUCAAGCAUCGAUGAUUAUCAACCAAUAAUCAUGAUUGAGUCAAAAUAGGUUUUGGUUCAAAACCAAAAUCCUAUGAUUAAAACCCCCAUAAAACUUGUUAUUGAUACAAAUGAACUCUAGACUACUAAUUAAUCAAGUCCAAUGAAGUGUUUAAUGCAAUGGACCAAAACUGGUCCAAAACAUAGAUAUAAGCCAAUGUUUUUCCCAAGAACAUAGAACACUGCCUUAGAAAACCCGGCUAUUGUCAAGCCACCAAAACUGGCAUUUUCGACCACUAAAACAUGCUUUCUUCGUUUCAAAAAGUCACACUACCAUAACCAAACAUGUUUGAAUAAAAAAACUAACAAAUAACAUUAAAAUCAUGCAAGAGGUUCCAAACUUCAAAACUACAAACUUAAAAUAGCCUAUAUAUUUAUGCAAUUUGGAUUCAAUUUUUUUUCCUAAACCUUCAAUAAGACCCAACCAAAACCUAGAAACUAAGAACAUGCAUCAGCCAACAUAAAAAAACAUCAUAACCUUGCUACCACAUCUAGUAGAUUUCAAAAGUACUUUAUUUCAUCAAAACUCAUCCAACAAACAUCACCUAAGUAUUCAGAGACAUUAACAAACAACUCAAAUCAAGAUUUAAACAAUAAAACAACUUUUUUAUGUAUUAAUCAAAAUCAAAACUAAAGAACAUCAUAACAGUAAAGCAAGUUUGAAAACAUCAUUAAACAUGUAAAACAAGUGACUCGACUAACUCGGAAGGAAGUUAAGUUUGAAUGGUCAAAAGAGUGUGAAACAAGUUUUCAAGAGUUAAAAUCCAGGCUAACUUCAACCCAGUAUUGGCUUUACCAAAAGGACAUGAGGGAUUUGUUAUGUAUAGGGAUGCUUCCAAUAAGGGUUUGAGUUGUGUAUUUAUGCAGCACGGAAGGGUAAUUGCUUAUGCAUCUAGAUAGUUGAAACCACAUGAGAUAAACUAUCAUGUACAUGAUUUGGAGCUGGCAGCUGUGGUGUUUGCUUUGAGGAUAUGGAGACAUUAUUUGUACGCGAUAUAGGAGAUGGAUGGAGCUAAUCAAAGAUUAUUACAGAUCACAAAAGUUUAAAAUAUUUGAUGUCAUAAAAAGAAUUGAAUAUGUGAUAUAGGAGAUGGAUGGAGCUAAUCAAAGAUUAUAAUUGUAUUAUUGACUAUCACCCGGGGAAAGCAAAUGUGGUGGUAGAUGCUCUAAGUCGGAAGAAUAAAGCUUUUAUUAGUGGUUUACUAGUGCUAAGUGAGCUAAAUGUGCAUUUGGAUGUGACUUCAGGAGGAAUAUUACUGGCAACAUUAGUGCUAUAAUCAGAUAUGAGAGAAAAGAUUCGAAAAGCUCAAGGUGAAGAUCCUGAAGUGAUAAAAGAAAUGAACAAUGUAAAAGUAGGCCAAGACUCUUUAUUUCGAGUGUCAAAAGAUGGGCUAGUUAUGGGAAACAUAAUAUAUUUACCUGAUGAUAAGGUUUUAAAAAGUGAAGUCUUAAAAGAAGCUCAUGAGUCUAAAUUGACGAUCCAUCUAGGGAGCACGAAAAUGUAUAGAGAUUUGAAGGAGAGUUACUGGUGGCCAAAAAUGAAAAGGGAGAUAACAUAAUACGUGGCCAAAUGUGCCAUAUAUCUACAGGUGAAUGUAGAGCAUCAAUGGCCGAUUGGAGAAUUACAAUCUCUUUCGAUUCCAGAAUGGAAAUGGGAGAAUAUCACUAUGAAUUUUGUAUCUAGCUGGUAAGGACUUGAUGCCAUAUGGGUGAUCGUGGAUAGACUGACAAAGUCUUCUUUGUUUUUGCCUAUGAAGAUAGGGGAUUCGGUUGAAUAACUAGCUCAAUUAUAUAUUAAAGAGGUGGUGAGAUUGCAUGGUGUACCAGUUUCUAUAGUUUUUGAUAGGGAUCCUUGGUUUACAUCAAGGUUAUGGCCGAGUAUACAAUGGGCUUUGGGUACCAUAUUGAAUUUAAGAAUGACUUUUCAUCCACAGACUGAUGGGCAAUCUGAAAAGACAAUUUAGAUUUUGGAAGAUUUGUUAUAGCUUGUAUUCUAGAGUUUGGAGGUCAAUGGGAGGAUCAUUUGCCAUUAGUAGAAUUUACUUAUAAUAAUAGUUAUCAAUCUACUAUUGGCAUGAAACCAUAUGAAGCAUUGUAUGAAAGGUGAUGUCGAACUACAGUACGUUGGGAUGAAGUUCGGGAAAGAAAAUUAUUGGGAUCUGAACUGGUGCAGAUCAUGGUUGAUAAGGUGAAGGGGAUAAAGUAAAGGAUGAAAGAAGCUCAAGACCGGUAAAAGAGUUGUGCUGAUAAUUGACGGAGACCUCUAGAGUUUCAAAUUGGAGAUAUGGUAUUUUUAAAAGUUGCACCAUGGAAGCAUGUGAUUCGGUUUGGAAUGAAAGGCAAAUUAGCACCCAGGUAUAUCGGGCCAUAUAAAAUUAUAGAAAGAAUUGGGAUGGUUGCCUAUCGAAUAAUCCAAUCCUUAGAUUGAGCUGAAAUUUUACGAGGGACUUUAAAAUAUAUUGAAUAAAAUUUGGUUAAAAUUUUAGGAUGAACAGAGCUCGGUGUUGCUUAAAAAAAAUUAGGACCUUCAAAUAGAAGCAAAAUGACUCAUUAAGGGUAAAAUGAUUAUUUGCCAUUAAAAAUAAAACAAAUCAGCUCUCCUUUCCUUUUAUAUGCUGCCGACUGGGCAGAAGCAGAGUGGGAAAAGAAGAAAAGAAAAAAAGCGAGUGAGAAAGAGAGAAAAGUAAGGAAAAAAUAAGAAAAGUGAGAGAAUAAUCUUGUAAACUUACAAAGUCCAACUUAUAAAACACUAAUCUAAGGAAGAAUCAAGUGAAGGAAGGAGGAUUUGAGAGAGAGAAUUUGGCUAACCUUGGGAGAGAAGAGAAAUUGGAAGAAAGUCAAUUAGUAAGUAUGAGAAGUUUGGAUUUAAUGUUUGAUUUAGAUGUUUUUAAGCUAACUCGAUUAAGUUAGGAAGUAAUUUCAUGGAAUUUUACUUUAAUUUCCCUUAAAUCCUUGAUUCUUGAACUUAGGAUUCUUAUGGGAAUUUGGGGGAAUUAGAAAGGGAAGGAAAAAUGAUGAAGUAAGUGGAAUAGCAUGAAAACAAGUUGAAAUAACAAGUAAAUGAAGAAAAAUUUGGGGGAGGAAAAAGAAGAUGACAUUUGGCCAAAUGAAGGAAAAGUGGAGGAAUGAGUUUUGAUGUUAAUGUUUAGGAAACUAUGUUUAAUCAUGAUAUUUGAAAUAUACAAGAAAGACUAAAUGAAGAAAUAACAUUAAAGUUGAGAAAAAUAAGUAAAUUCAAUUUAAAAGAGAAUUGAACUAGUUAAAAAGAAAGUAUGAAGACAAGAUGUUUAGAUUGUGUUUGAAUAUAGUUCUUACAUAUGUUUAGAUAAAAUAAAUAAUAUGAUGUGAAGGCAUAAAGAAUAGAAGGAUUAUUUGAUGGAAGAAUUAUGAACAUAAAGUAAGAAAAGAAGUCAAAAAGGUCAUUCUCAGUCUUCACACUUCAUGCACAAGGAAAUAAUAUGUUUAAUUCGUCAAUCGACUCAUAGCCAACACUGUAACAAAUGUUUGGGAUGAAGGGAAAAGUAUAGAUUUUUCUCAUUAGAGAAAGAAACUGCAUAAAAUGUGAAUGCUGUAAUUAUUUUCAAAGAACUUAACCAUAAAUCCACCCUUCUUGCAAGGAACAAAGCCUUCUUCCCUAUAUUUUCAAAGAAUGCUAUAAUUAUUAUGGUGAAUCAUGCAAGCAUAUCCCACUACCAGAAAAUUGAUAAAUACAAACGGAAAUACCGAGGGAAUAUUUCCGUCGGUAAAUUUCCGAGGGAUUUUACCGACGGAAAUAUUCCCUCGGUAUAUACCGAGGGAAUUACCGUGGGAAAAAAAAUUAAAACAAAGCAAAAAAAAAAUGAUGACGUGUCAUUUUUACCAACGGAAUUACCAACAGAAUUACCGACGGAAUAAAUUCCGUCGGUGAUUCCGUUGGAAAAUUUGUUGGUAAAUUGUGAACACUGUUCAUCAUGUUAAUUACAAAGGGAAUCACCGACGGAAUAUUCCGUCGGUAUUUUCCAGAGGGAAAAGUCGUCGGUGUUAUUUGGCGGUUUUCUGAAAAAAUUCAAUUAAUUUAAAAUUUUCAUUUAAAUAUUACAGACGGAAUCACCGACGGAUUGAAAAAUCAUCGGUAAUUUUUUGGCGGUUUCUGAAAAAAUUUUACGAAAUUGAAAAUUUAAAUUAAAUAUUACCGAUGGAAUUACCGACGGAAUAAUUAAAAAAUAUUAAUAUUUAAUUAUCCGUCGGUAAAUCCGUCGGUAAAGCGUCCCAAUAAAAAGCCUGAAUGCCCUUAUUUCACAAGAGACAGACCCGUUUCUUAUUAUUAUUCUUCUUCUUGUUCUUCUACUUCUUCUUCUUCUUCUUCUUCUUCUUCACUAUAUGUAAAAAACAUCAUUAAGGUAUGUCUUCUUCUUCUUCUUCACUUUAUGUAAAAAACAUCAUUUCUUAUCUAUUUCUUUCUCUUCUUUUCUCUCCUCAUCUCCUUCUCUUUUCCUCCAUGCUUGGAUAUGUCUUUUUCUUCUUUCUUCUUUUAUCCUCUUAGUUUUUUUUUAAUUAAUAUGCUUAAUGAAAUUUUUUUUCUCUCCUUAGCUUCACUUGCAACUACAUUAAGGUAAGAUUUUUCUUUUUUCUUCUUUUUUCAUGAUUUGUUUCACUAUAUUUGUUCUUUAUUUUAUUUUUAAUUGUUUUUGUUCUUAAUAAUUGUAUAAAUGUUGUUGUGAGAUGUUUUUUUCAUAUGAGAUCAAUUUUUAGUAGAUUUAUUUAUAGGAUUUUUAAAUUUUUAGCAAUUGCAACUUCAUUUUUUUCAUAUGAAUUUUUUUAGUUGAAUUUAUUUUUUUAUUUUAUUUAUUUGUUGCAAAUUUGUUUGAAUUGAUUUUCUUAUUCUUUUUUCCAAGCAUUUUGAGUAUAUAUUAUACAGUGUUAAUUUAUGUCAAUUUAAUUAUUUUAUAAUUUUAUAAAAUGAAUUUUUUUAAAAUGUUUUUCAAUAAUUACCGACGGAAUUACCGACGGAAGUUCCGUCGGUAAUUCCGUCGGUACAUCCCUCGGUAAUUCUGUUGGUAAUAAAAAAAUUAUUACCGACGCGUCUGUUCCGUCAGUAAAUCCAUCGGUAAUUCUAUUACCAACAGAUUUACCGACGAACGAUUCACCGACGAAUCAUUUCCGUCUUUGAUUCCGUCGGUAAUAUAAUUACCGAUGAAAUAUGUGUCUUACACCGACGGAAAAAUUCCGUCGGUAAAACUGUUAAAUCUUGUAGUGUCCAGAAUGAUUUGAUAUUUCUUAAUUGAAUUUUGGAAAAGUCGUGAUACUUGGUAAAGCCUUUGGAUAGUUUCUCUGAGAUGUGAUGGAAUUAACAACAUAUUGAGAAUAAUAAAAAAGAAAAAGCAACUGAAUCAAUGAUCAAAAGUUGUGAAAAUUAUAUCUUUCUUUGAAGAUUUUGAUUUUGACCACAGUGAACCUAUAAGCUUAGAUAGAGAGGGCUUCUAUGAUUUCUAUAUAUACGGACUAGCUUGGCUUCAAACCAUAUGUACAAGUCAAGCUCAAACUCAGAACCUACUUAAACUGUUUCUUCUUCUUAUUUUUUAGUGUCAUUUUGCAAAUGGCUCGCCAAGCAGAUCGCCUUUACAAGAUUGGGUUAAAAGGGUUUGCACUAAUAGACGAGUGGUACGGGUGCCCUAGGAGGUCUUCAACUCCUCAAGAGCACCAUCAGCAACGAUAUGAUUAUGGUGGAAUCCAAGUUCCCAUGAUGAAAAUGGAUGUUAUCAACAACAAGGAGGCAGCUAAACAUUAUGGUGGGGUGGUGAUUAUGGAUUAUCGAAAGAAAAAAUUACUCUAUUGAGCUCUUUAGUGAUAAUGUAUUGGGCCUUGCUUUGCUUGGUUAAGUUAAUUACCAAGCAUAAUUAAGUCGUUUUUAACUUUAUUGUUUUCUUCUUCUUUUUCCUAUGUUUGUGUGUGUGUAUGCCAAUUGUUUUAGAGUCAGCUACUCCAAAACAUGAAAAAGUAUGAGUGCCUUAAAGUGAAUUGUUGCACCUCUUAUUUCUCUAUGAUUACGAUUGUUGGGUUUCUUGAAAUACAUGACAUAGUGAAAAUAGUUUUUUCAAGUCUCAUGUAUCUCAUUAAACAACAUAAACUUAUUUAAGAUUUGUGCGAAAAUUGUAUGAAGAUAGUUCUUCCUCCUAGAAUUUGAUCAACACUUGAAGGCUGCAUUCUCGUAAAUCAAGUCCUUACUUGAUUUUUCUAAAUCUAGAAUUUUAAUCUCAUGUGCUAAUUAUAUUAUAGUUUUCANNNNNNNNNNNNNNNNNNNNNNNNNNNNNNNNNNNNNNNNNNNNNNNNNNNNNNNNNNNNNNNNNNNNNNNNNNNNNNNNNNNNNNNNNNNNNNNNNNNNAAAAAUGUAUUAUUCUGUAUUUGUAAUCUUAGUUUGUUUACUUGCAAUUGUUAUGAAUUAUGUGUGUUAAUGGGAAAGAAAUGAGCAUGCGAAAUGUGAGGCAUGUACCAUGAAUGAUGUGUUGUCAAGGUUCUACAUGAUUAUGAUAUGAUUGAGAAAUGAGUAUAACUAUACAGGAUGAUUGUCGAUAACUUGGGACCUCCAGGUAUAAAGGAAACUCUGCCGAAAUUUCAGUGGAAAUUUUGGCAACUCUCGGAUAAGUUCGGUGGAUGAAAAAAAAAAAUACCCAUUUUUUUAAAAGUUAAGGCUCAAAGUACUUUGAUGAAUGUACUAAAUUACAGGGUGUUACAAUUUCUGUAUCGGAUUCUUCAAGGAUAGUUUAAAUGUCUCAAAAGUUUAAAAUUUAAAAUAAAUUUAAAAAAAAUAAUUAGGAUUGCUGUUUUGGAUUUUUCAAGGAUAGUUAAAAGUCUUAAAAUUAUAACAUUCAAAAGAAUUUAAACAAAGGAAUUAGGAUUUCUGUUUUGGAUUCUUCAAGGAUAGUUUAAANNNNNNNNNNNNNNNNNNNNNNNNNNNNNNNNNNNNNNNNNNNNNNNNNNNNNNNNNNNNNNNNNNNNNNNNNNNNNNNNNNNNNNNNNNNNNNNNNNNNUCGCCGCGUCGCCGCGCACCCCGCUAUAAUUAUUAUGGUGAAUCAUGCAUGCAUAUCCAGAAUGAUUUGAUAUUUCUUAAUUGAAUUUUGGAAAAGUCGUGAUACUUGGUAAAGCCUUUGGAUAGUUUCUCUGAGAUGUGAUGGAAUUAACAACAUAUUGAGAAUAAUAAAAAAGAAAAAGCAACGGAAUCAAUGAUCAAAAGUUGUGAAAAUUAUAUCUUUCUUUGAAGAUUUUGAUUUUGACCACAGUGAACCUAUAAGCUUAGAUAGAGAGGGCUUCUAUGAUUUCUAUAUAUACGGACUAGCUUGGCUUCAAACCAUAUGUACAAGUCAAGCUCAAACUCAGAACCUACUUAAACUGUUUCUUCUUCUUAUUUUUUAGUGUCAUUUUGCAAAUGGCUCGCCAAGCAGAUCGCCUUUACAAGAUUGGGUUGGAAGGGUUUGCACUAAUAGACGAGUGGUACGGGUACCCUAGGAGGUCUUCAACUCCUCAAGAGCACCAUCAGCAACGAUAUGAUUAUGGUGGAAUCCAAGUUCCCAUGAUGAAAAUGGAUGUUAUCAACAACAAGGAGGCAGCUAAACAUUAUGGUGGGGUGGUGAUUAUGGAUUAUCGAAAGAAAAAAUUACUCUAUUGAGCUCUUUAGUGAUAAUGUAUUGGGCCUUGCUUUGCUUGGUUAAGUUAAUUACCAAGCAUAAUUAAGUCAUUUUUAACUUUAUUGUUUUCUUCUUUUUUUUCCUAUGUUUGUGUGUGUAUGCCAAUUGUUUUAGAGUCAGCUACUCCAAAACAUGAAAAAGUACGAGUGCCUUAAAGUGAUUUGCUGCACCUCUUAUUUCUCUAUGAUUACGUUCUUGGGUUUCUUGAAAUACAUGACAUAGUGAAAAUAGUUUUUUCAAGUCUCAUGGAUCUCAUUAAACAACAUAAACUUAUUUAGGAUUUGUGCGAAAAUUGUAUGAAGAUAGUUCUUCCUCCUAGAAUUUGAUCAACACUUGAAGGCUGCAUUUUCGUAAAUCAAGUCCUUACUUGAUUUUUCUAAAUCUAGAAUUUUAAUCUCAUGUGCUAAUUAUAUUAUAGUUUUCAAUUUCUAAAACUUAUUUACAAUCAAUUUGUUAUUAUCUACUUUUGACUCCACAAAAAAUCAAGAAAAGAAAGAGAAAAUAGAAAGAGAAAAUCCAAAAUACAAGAAGAUAUACAUGAAAAAAAAACAUAAAAGAUUACUUAAGUUGAUGGUGAAGGACCAAAUUACAUGUGGAAAAGUUGAAGGACCAAAAUAUACAAAACUACUAUAAUUAACAACUCAAUUCCAAUUGACAAAGGGCCCCAUUGGUGAAAAUAUUUCUAUUAGGGUAAAGAAAUACAAAUUUGGAUAGGUAAGGACUUAAUGAGAAUUUUGGAAGGCUUAAUUAAUUUUAUUGAGGACUUGAUUACUGGGAAAAUCAGUUUUUAGAGUCAAUUUGGGUGUUAAUUGAAAUAAAUUAAAGUCCAUAGACUUAAUUGGUUUUUUAGGAGGUUUAAUUGGAUGAAUCAAGGGCUUAAUUGUAAGAAUAUUGAAGUUUGGUAGGUAAUUAGGGACUUGAUUGAAGAAAUCUAAAACCAAGGACCAAACUGAAAAAAGGCGCAUGACUGUAGAGACUAAAUUUGACCAAAUUAGGGGCCAAAUUGAAGAAAAUUGAAAGUUUAAUGGUCAAUUAAGGGUCCGAGUGCACAAAUUAGAAACUAAGGACCAAGAUUAAAAUGGCGCUGAACUUUGAGGUUGAUGAUUGAGCUGGACAAGGGUGAAAUUACAUGAAAUUAAGAGUUUGAAGGACAAUUAUAGGUGCAAUUAAAACAAAUUUGAAGAAUAGGGACUAAAGUGAAAAUUUUCAAAUCCCAAAUAAAAAACCCUAAUUUCUAGGGUUUAACCUAGAUGAUGCGUCGUUCGACCAUUGUUUAGUUUUUUGUUGGCAAUUUUGGUUGAUCGAGUAGGCACCUUCAAACGAAUGAAUGUGGCGUUUCCAACCACUUCUAGGGUUGUAACCACCACCAUUUAAUUGAGAAACACCCCAUCUACAAAGAUCAACUACGACCAUCAAGCACUUAUAUCCCAUUUUCUUUAUCGAACUCAACAACAUCUUUUCCUAGUUAGCCAUUACUACAUUUUCAAAUUCUCGGAUAAUCGAGUUGUCGCCUUCAACAAGUGAAUAUGGGGCUACAGACAUCCAAAUUGAACAAGAAUGGACCAAAUCGAAAGGUGUGAUUCUCCUUUAUAAAGUUUAGGUGGUCUCCAAUAACAUUUACGUUGGAGUUGCUCUGGCGUGGCCUCAAAAUUGGUCAACUUAGUCAGUCUUGACUAAGAUACCUAUUUGUACAAAGUCAUUCAACUUUUUCGUGUGUUCACACUUAAAAAAUUUUAGAGGGUUCUUAUCAAGGGUCAUAAAUCUCAUCCAUAAUCAGAAGGUGAGGGAUGCAUGCCUUUGUCUCCAAGAAAAAAAAAACCUCCUAGGUAAUUUUGUUAGAAAACCAUUGUCCCAAAACCAUUGAAAGACAAAGGUUCUGAUUGUUAACAUUUGUCCAGAACUCUCUCAUUUUGAUCAAAGAACUAAGCUUUGAUCGAUCUAUAUUUGAAUCCAUUAAACACCCUAGCAAAACCCUAUAAAUACCCCCUGAAAAAUAAAAAUAAAAAGAGAGAGAGGAAAAACAUGGAAGAAACACACUAUGAAAAGAUCCUGGUGUGAAGGUUCAAGAGCCUAACAUAGAGGGUCUAACAAGCUUUAGAAAAAAUAUAGUGAAAGGGAAAGAGGUAAAUAAAAGAGAAGGAAAAUAGUUCAUAGCUAGCAAGCUUGGAUAAGGUAUAAAUAUGUAGAAAUUCAAGCGUGGAGUCCAUGUGGCCUUCCUUUUCAUGCUUUCUUAAUGUUUAAACCUCUUUUGAUGUUGUUUGAGCUUGUCUUGCAUUUUUUGGUUUGAUUUUGGUGCUGGAAUAAUUUGAUGUAUUUUCAGCAGAGUUUGUUUUAUUAGAUUUCAUUAUGAUAAUUUGUUUUAGUUUUGGUUAAUAAUUUGUUAUUGAGGUUUGCACUAAAGACAUGAUUCUUGGUUUUCACACUUGUUUGAUUAUGUGAUUUUAGCCUAAUAGCAUGAUGAUGAUGUAUUUGAGAUAUUUUGAUUGGUGUUUGAAUCUAUUUUGUAAUUAAACAAUGAGUUGUUUUUGUUUGUGGGUUAAAUAUUUUGGAAGCAUGUUGAUUAAUUUGAUGAUUUUAGUGCAAGUUCAUGGUUUAUACAAGUAUGUUUUGGCAUAUAGAUGUUAAAAAUAUCAAGUUUUGAAUCCAAAUAGCAUGAAUAUGCUUGUUGAUUAUCUUUAGUAGUUUUGAACUUUGGAACUUAAUGCAUGUUAUUGAUGACUUUAUUUUAUUUGUUAGUUCUUUGAAUUCAACAAUGCUUAAUAUUGAUAAUAUGGUUUGCAAGGACCAAAAGAAACAUGUUUUAGAAGCCUUAGAGGCUAGUUUUGGGUUUAAUAGUAGGUUGGGAACUUUUAGGUUGCUGGGUUUGGUUUUUUCAUGUUCUUGGAAAGAAAAUUGCCUUAGCACUAUGAUUUAGAUCAAUUUUGGUCCCUUUGUUUACACUAAACCAUUCAGGGGACUUAACUAGUAGAUAAUAUAGGGUUUAUUUGCAUUAAUAACAAGUGUAUGGGUUUUUAAUCCUAAGAUUUUGGUUUUUAACCGAAACCCAUUUUCACAAAAUCACGUUAAUUCUUUGAUAAUCGAAGUAAUGGAUGCUAGAUUAUGGAUCCUUGCAUGAUUUCAAAUAAAACCUUGCCCUUGAUUGCAUGAAAACUUGACUGGAUUAAGAUUUGUGUUUGUUGGUUUGUUGAUGAAUGCUCUUUGUGUUCUUCACGAUUUGAGUGUUUGAUCUAUUUUUCUGCAAAUUUUUUUUUAUGUUUUGUGUUAAUUUUCAACUUUGAUUUUGUUUCAGGUUAAACCUUUGUUUGAGUUUACUUUUCAGAUCAAACCUUGUUUUUUGGUUCAGUUCAUGGUUAAACUAGUGUCUUUGGGUCGACCCGUUUGGUUUUGUUUUAGGUCAAGUACUUAAGGCUUUGUUUGUUUGAACAACCUUUUGUGAAGGAUUUUUUUGGCCCAAGAGAAUGUUUGGCAAACACACACUUAAGUGCAUUUUGGUAAUUUCUAGGGAAAGAAAAGAUGGUUUUGCCAAACAUUGGCUUAUAGAAAUAAACUAGCUAUGUGACCCGCGCUCCACCGCGGGUUAAAUAAUCAAAAAAAUUUAAAAGAGCUCCUAAACAAAAUAAAAGAGAUGAUGUUUUAUCCAGGUUAUAAAAAGGUCCAAAGAUGUUGGGUCUUGGUGGCAGAAGGAUCCAAUUGGGUGUUGGGCCAUGGUGGAGGCAAGGCCCACAACUGUUGGGUCUUGGUGGGAGGACCCAACACGCAAUUGGGUCCUACACCGUCAAGACCCAACAUCCACAUGGGUCCUGCACCUGGCAGGACCUAGAAGGAUGUGGGUCCUGCACCCGGCAGGACCCAACAUGCAAUUGGGUCUUGCACUGUGCAGGACUCGAAGCUAAUUUCGGUCCUGCACCUUGCACGACCCAAAGUUAUUGUGGGUCCUGCGCUAUACUCAAUUGGGUUGGGUCCUGCAUCCUGUAGGACUUAAAGUGCAGGAUCCAACACCCAAUUGGUCCUGCACAUGUCAGGACCUAACACAUAAUAUAUAUAUAUAUAUAUAUAUAUAUAUAUAUAUAUAUAUAUAUAUAUAUAUAUAUAUAUAUAAUUCAAAACUACUGCAUAAAAAUCUAAAGACAAUAAAAUAUUGAUAUAACUUUGAAUCUCAUACACUAAUGUUAUAAAAUUAAAAUAUCUUGUAUUACCUAAAAUAAAAUCUCUUAUAUAAUACUAAAGAUUUAUAAAGUAUAUGAUGUAAAUAAAAAAUUUCUUGAGAUUUCUAUCAACUUUAAUAUGAAAAUAUUAGAGAAUAGAAUUAAAAAUUUUCAACUUUUUUCAAAGUAUUUUUAAAACUAUGAGUCAGGUGCCCUUGUCAACUCUUAGUUUUUUAGGUCUAGAAGGGAAUGUCAGAUCCAUGUUAAUAAUAAUAAUAAUUCAUUUAAUUAUAAUUAAAAUGAAGAAGAAGAAGAUACAAAAAGGAAAUUAAUACAGGUUUGUAAGCCAUGUAAAACACAAUUACUCAAGAUAUUUCAUGGUUUGCAUGCCUCUAGUUUGCGUGCGUGGUUAGGUUUCCCAUCUAUUUUAUGAAUUCACGCAAACCUAUUAUGAUAAUAUUUACAUACCAAGCACUAGAAACUAUAGAAGAAAAAAGAAAAUCUGACAAUAAGAAAAAUAUAUUGGUCUCAUAAUAUCUAUUUAGCCUUACACUUCUGGAAAAAGAUUAAUUUUCCAUCAGCACCAUGGACAUCUGGAAAUUUUUAUUUUUUGAUUUACUUUAAAUUAGUAUUUUUUUGACAUUUUUGUAUUAUUUUUAAAAGAUUGUUUCCAAAAUAUAUAUUUAGAUUGUGUCUUGAAAAUUUUUAAUUUUUUUCUUGACUUUAAAUUUUGAAGACACAAUCUCAACAUAAUUUUUUAAAAGAAAAUAUUUAAAAAAUAAUAGAAAAACAAAGAAAAAAGUAAUUUAAAGUAAAGGAAAAAAAUAAAAAUAUUUCAAGACACAAUUUCAAUAUUUUUUUUCAAACAUAGUAUUUAAAAAACAAUAGCAAAAUAUAAAAAAAAUCAAUUUGAAUUAAAGGAAAAAAUUAAAAAUUUUCAAAUUUCUUGGCUCUUGCUUCACAGUCAGACACAAUCUCAAAAAAAUAAUUUAAAAUCUUUAUUUAAAAAAUAAUAGAAAAACAUAGAAAAAAAAAUUUAAGUAAAGAAAAAAAUUAAAAAUUUUCAAGACACAAUCUCAAUGUAUAUUUUGAAAAAAAAUAUUUUCAAAAUAAUACAAAAAUAUAUAUAAAAAAUUAAUUUAAAGUAAAUUAAAAAUUUUCAAAUUUCUUGGGUCUGGCUUGUCAAAAGUUAUUUCAAAAAUUACAAAUUCAAAAAAUUAAUGUUGUUGGGUCUUUUGGUAGAGAAGGCAACGCCCCCAGCUCUUGGAUCCUAACUCUAAAGGGUUGAGGAGAACCCAAUGUCAUUGGGUCCUGGUGUUAGCAAUACCCAAUAACCCACAGUCAACCACUAUGUUGGGUCUCCCAGUAGCUCUGGGAAGACAAGGCAAAGCCUCCAUCCGUAAAUUUUGACCAAAACCAUAGCAGGGUAUGACCCCCAAGGUGUAUGGCUGCUAGGUCUGGCUGUGUAACCACACCCAAUAUCCUUAGGUAUGGUUGUGCAGCUAAACCCAACACCUUUGGAGGGUGUUAGGUCCUGCACCGUGCAUGACCAAAAUAGCUAUGAUAUAAGUAAUCCAUCCUAGGGACAUCGGCAUAGGAAGAUUGAAAAAAAAACAAAACAAAACAAUUGAUUUCCUUUGGUAAAUGGAUUGGAAAUCCAUGUUAUCACGAAUGUGAGAAUUCAAUCACCCAUACCUCUCUAUAUCUCUACACAUCGUAAAUAUAUAUAUCUUUUUCACUACAAUAUAACACCACCAUUGAAUAUUAAUGCAAGACCAUUGAUCAAUAAGGAUGACUGGCUUCCAGACCCAAUAACCAUACCCAAUUAAAUUUCUUUGUCGUUGUCUUCUCUGAUUUAAAUUUAUUUUUCAAAAUAAAUUGAUGAGAUUUUUUUUAUAUUGUAUAAAAGUUGAGUGAUAAUAUUUUUUUCCCAUUUCAGGUUGGGUUAAAUUUCCUAAUUAAAUCAUGUUUGAUUUUGCGUUUUGAAAAUUCCUUGAAAUUUUUUUGAUAAUUUUUAAGUUUUUUUUCUUUGCUUGAAAUUAAUAUUUUUGUUAUGUUUUUGUAUUAUUUUUUAAAAAAAUAUGUUGAGAUUAUGUCUGGCUGCGACGCUAGACAAAAGAAAUUUUAAAAUUUUUAAUUUUUUUCUUUACUUCAAAAUAUUACUUUCACCAUGUUUUUGUAUAUUUUUUAAAUAUUUUUUUUUUAAAAAAAACAUAUAUUGAGAUUGUGUCUAGUUGAGAGGCAAGACUCAAGAAAUUAAAAACAUUUUCAUUUUUUUAUUUACUUCAAAUUAAUUUUUGUUUAAUAUUUUUUUCUUCAUUUCAAAUUAUUUAGAUAGUGUUUGAUUUUGCAUUUCAAAAAUUGUUUGAAUUUUUUUUGACAAUUUUAAAGCUUUUUUCUUUACUUCAAAUUAAUUUUUUUUUAUGUUUUUGUAUUUUUUUUUUAAAUGUUGGCAUUGUGUUUGUCUGCGAUGCUAGACCCAAUAAAUUUUUAAAUUUUAAUUUUUUUCUUUCCUUCAAAAUAAUAUUUUUUUUUCAUGUUUUUAUAUAUUUUUUAAAAAUAUUGAGAUUUUCUCUGGCUCGUUUUGUGGGGCCUCUAAACCCAAGGAGGGUUAGAACAGACCUCGACGGCUGGGUCUGCACCCAGCGCGUGUGUAAUAGUCCGAACUGUACGACUCGAUCAAUGUUAAAAGAUUCCAACAUAUACUCUUUAUUUGAGGGUAAUGUUUUUUUUUUAUUUCCAAAAAUUCGACAGAGUUUUGUUUGCAUUUAGAACAUCCCAAGUUAUCGACUACUAUCAAUUUACUCAAUCAACCCAUUAUCACAAGGUCCCUUAAUUCCGGACCUUAUAUCAAACCUCAUAAUUCCACACCUCAUACAAUCCACACAAUAUAUAUAUAUAUCCUACGAGUAAGUUCAAUAUGAACAUAGUCCAACACAUCGUAUCAUAAAAUUUAAAGGAAAAGCAAUACUAUCAUGCAAAGAAAGUAUUUACAGUUAAUUACAAGAUAACUAAAAUACUACAUGCUAAGCUAAACCUUUAUAAAUACAUCAAGGUUUGCACAAAAGUAUACUACAUAAACACGUUAAUUCCCUUUUGUUUUAAGUUAAAUAUUUACAUAAGCUUCACAAGGUAGAGUCCUAAACUAAUGAUCUUCCUGGAUGUUUGAUGGACCUGUUACAUAAAUAAACAUACCAUUAUGUUGAUAAAGAAUAUAUGUAUGCUCAUGCAAUGAAUACGAAUGAAGUAUUAACUUUCUAUCGAAUCCAUGAGAAUUCUAACAAAUAACUUAUAUUUUGCUUGUAAAUCUUUUAAACCCAAUUAACACUCAUUUGUAUAUUCUUAAUUGAAUAAUCUUAUUUACUUGCAUAAACUGGGUGACCUUGCAAGGUUUAAUCUUGUAAUUCAUUUCCCGGCAAUCCUAUCAUGGAUGCCAUUAGCCGAAGCUAAUUAUGUAAAUCAUUUCCCGGCAAUCCUAUAACGGAUGCCAUUAGCCGAAGCUAAUCUUGUAAAUACACUAGGCUUUAUUUACAUUGAACACGAUAUUUAUUAUAAUUGCAUUCACCAGAAGGAUUCUAAAUUGUAUAAGUGCAAAUAGGAGGGAAAAUCAUGCACCUGCUUCGUCUGUCUCGCGACCUCCCCUAACAAAAGAUCCAAUCCUAGUUGCUCCUCCUGAAUCACAAGGAAGUUUUUUUUUUUUGGUUAUGAUUCCUUCAAGCCGAUAUUAUAGAGAAUUCAUAUUCAUCCAUUACUCAUAUGUUACUUUCUAUGCAUGUUCAUUUCCUCAUAAUAACAUACAUACAUAUAUCAUGUAUAUUUUCAGAGUUAGUAUCUCAAUAUACAAGUGUUCGUAUGACUCAAUUCUUUUAUAUUCUUAUUUAUAGUAUUCACGUCAAAGUCGUCUGACUUUGAACUGUUACUGUUUGACUUUGAACUGUUACUGUCCAAUUUCCAACUGUUACUGUUUGACUUGGAACUGUUACUGUCUAAACACUCAUCAGAUUUUUAACUAUAUCUAAAGUUCUAAAACUCCAUUUUAAGUGAGAUUGAUCUCGCUAGAAAGCUAAGACACGAGGCUACUAGUUCUCUGAGGAAGGAGAACCUAGUUUUGCCUCCAAGAUAGUCAAAAUUGUUCAUUUACUAAUUAGUCCUACUACCCUACAUAAUUAGUUACGACUCAAUCUCAGUUGGUAACCCAUAACUGGAGUUCUACAUCUCCAAAUUGAGCAAGACCAGUUUCUUUGGUUAGCUAACAUUCAAAUCUACAAUUUCUAUGAGGAACCCGAUCCUAAUCCCCUCAUCCUCCUACCCGAAAUCUCAUCAAAAGUUAGGAGACAAGUCUGUCUAGAUUCGUCUCCCCCUCCCCUUCACACAAUACUUUCAUAAACUACAUACCACACACAUGAAUUAACUUAAUCUCAACAAUAAGUACUUUUUCCCCAAUUUAUGUCUAAGAACCCUAACCUAUGAUUCAAUAUCAAGGCAUCAAUUCUUUAUCGAAUUUAAAAAUGAAUUUUUUUAAGAUCAUGUUUAGAAUACCUUACCCGGUACAAAUUAAGAUUUUGAUCUUCAACCAGUUGAAGAUUUUCAACUCCCUCCUUUCUUUUCUUCUUGUUCAAUUUCUUGGUAAUUUUUUGCUCUCAAGUGUUUAUCCCAUCUAUAAGCUCUUAAUCUUGGAUGGGUUCUUGAAAUUUUAGUGUUUCUCUCUUGAUUUCUCAAGAAUGGGUAUAAACUCCCUAUCUUCUCUUCUUAUGGUUCCUACAGAUUUUUUUGGUGAGGAGAGAGUAUUUAUACUCUAUAUUUUCCCUUAUUUGCAUUUAGGCCCUCCUUUUCCUUUAAGUGUAUUAUUCUCUUCAAUUAAAUCCAACCCUCAACAGUACCGGGUUUAUUAUAAUAUCGCGAAUUAUUUCGCUCGGAAAUUUAUAUUCAAAAAUUUCAGAAUUUCUGUUUUUAUUUAACCAUAUGCAUGAAUUUCAUCACUUUUAUUUAUUUAUUAUUUUUCCCGGGGUUUACAGCGCGGGUCCAGAGGCCAGGAGCGCGGGGUUGCAGACCCUGCCUCGCGGGUAUGCAGACCCCAGGGUCACAAGGCUGCACACUCGCUUGCACUGGGGAUGCAGCCAGGCGCGCGGGUCUGCCUUACCACCUAAGGCAUGGCAGGCCCCGUGCUAGGUGUCUGCAUGCUAGGGCCUUGGCCAGCCCUAGUGCUAGGUGGCAGCAACCUAGAGCGCGAGCAGGCGCACGUGGCCUACCCCACUCCCAAGCCUGACAGCCUAAGCGCCAAGUGUCCCCAGCCUUAGGGGUUGUGCGUCCAGCCAGACACUUGGGGCCCACACUAAUAUUUUUUUCAAAAAAUAUUUUUUAACAAUAAUAGUAAUAAUGAUAAUGAUAUUUGUUAUUAUAUUUUUUUUUUUGCAAUUUCCUUCCAUUUUUAAUAUUAAUACAAGUAAUAAUAUUUAGUAAUAAUAUUUUUUUUAACAUUCAAUGAAAUUAAAAAUAUAAAUAUUUAGAAUAAAAAUAAAAAUAUUUAGACUACAAAUAAAAAUAUUUAUCACAUUAAUAAUAAUAUGAAACUUGUUUGACCAAAGUUGAUAAAAUAAUAUUUUUUUUAAAAAAAAUUAUUAACAAUAAUAAUAACGAUAAUUGUUGUUAUAUUAUUUUUUUCAAUUUUCUUCUAUCCUUAACAUUAAUACUUUUAAUUACAAUAAAGAUAAUAAUAUUUAGAAUACAAAUAAUAAUAUUUAUCAUAUUAAUAAAAAUAUCUACAGUAAUAAAUUUUUUUAUGAUAAUUAACCAUGAGACAAUAAUAAUAAUGAUAAUUGCUAUUGUAUUUUUUCCCCUGCAGGGUCUGUCGAUCCAGCCGUGCGAGCCUCUAAACCCAAGGGCGGUUAGAACAGACAUCGGCGGUCGGGUCUGCACCCAGUGUGCGGGUCAGGAGGCUAGGAGCGCGGGGUGCAAACUCUACCUCGCUUGUCUGCAGACCCCAGGGUUGCGGGGCUGCAGCAAACCCCGCGCCAGGUGUCUGCAUGCUAGGGCCUCGGCCAGCCCUAGCACCAGGUGGCAGCAGCCUAGGGCGCGCGCAAGAGCGCGUGGCCAACCCAACGCCCAUGCCUGUCAACCCAAGCGCUAGGUAUUCGUAGCCUCAGGGGGUGUGCGUCCACCCAGGCACUUGAGGCGUGCAAUAAGAUUUUUUGAAAAAAAAGUUUUUUAAAGAAUAAUAAUAAUGAUAAUUGUUAUAAUAUUUUUUUUUCCAAUUUUCGUCUAUUCAUAAUAUUAAUACAUUUAAUUAAAAUAAUAAUAAUAAUAAUAAUAGUUAGAAAAAUAAUAAUAUUUAUCACAUUAAUAAUAAUAUGAAACUUGCUUGACCAAAGUUGAUACAAUAUUAAUAAUAAUAUGAAACUUGCUUGACCAAAGUUGAUACAUUAUUAAUAAUAAUAUUUAUCACAUAUUUUAUCAAAUUAUUUACAAAUAAUAAUAUAUUUUUAUGUUUGAAAAUCCAUUUUUUAUAUACUCACAUCAAAAUAUUCAUUCGUGUAAAAAGGAAAUAAUAAUAUUAAUUUUUCUUUUCUUUUCUCUUAUUUUCGAUAUGAAUACUUUUUUAUAUAUAUUUUUGAUAUUUCUCUUCUUGAAUUUGCUUAUUAAAGCAUGUUUGUUUUUGCGUUUAAAAAAUGCUUUGAAAACAUUUUUAAAAUUUUUAAUUGUUUUGUUUACUUCAAAUUAAUAUUUUUGAUGUUGUAUUUUUUUUUGGUCUAGGUCCAUGACUGCGUUUUUAUUAUAAUUCUAAUUAUAAAAUAAUAAUAUUUAUAAUAAAAAUAAUUAUAUUUAGAAAGCUAAGACCCAAUUCUCUUGGGUCGUGACGCAGGACCCAUUACCCUUGGAUCCUGCCGUGGGACCUAAAGGAAUUGGGUCCUGACGCAUGACCCAAUCCUCUUAGGUCCUUGGGUCCGGCGGCAGGACCCAAGAGAAUUAUAAUAAAAAUAAUAAUAUUUAUAAUACAAAUAAUAAUAUGUUUAAUGUCAAUAACAUUAAUUAUAAUAAACAUAACAAUAUUUAUAAUACAAAUAAGAAUAUCUUGAAUUUCAAUAACAUUAAUUAUAAUACAAAUAAUAAUAUUUUUCAUUUAUUAAUUAUUAUAUGAAUAAUAUUAAUUAUAAUAAAAUACAAAUAUUUAUAAUACAAAUAAUUUUAAUUUUAACGUUAUUAUUAUUAUUAUUAUUAUUUAUAAUACAACUAAGAAUAUUUUUUAAUAACAUUAAUUAUAAUACAAAAGUAUUAAUAUUAAAAAUAUUAUUAUUUGUAUUAUACAUAUUAUUAUUUUUAUUAUAAUUAAUAUUAUUCAUAUAAUAAUUAAUAAAUUUUGGAAAUUUAUUAUUAUUAUUAUUAUGAUUAAUAAAUUUUAAAAAUACUAUUAUUACUAUUGAAGAAAAACCAUUAUUUUUUUAAAGAUUUAAAAAUAUAAUUCAAAGUAUUCAUAUAAAAAAUAUAAUUAUUUGUAUUAUAAAUAUAAUUAUUUUUCUUAUAAUUCAAAGUAUUCAUAUCAAAAAAAUUAUUAUUUGUGUUAUAAAUAUAUUAUUUUAAUUAUAAUUCUAAGUAUUAAUAUAAAAAUAUUAUAAUUUGUGUUAUAAAUAUUCUUGAGUUUGUUAAUAUAAUUAUUUGUGUUAUAAAUAUUAUUAUAACAAAUAAUCAAAUGCCAAGCGCCCUAGGGCUGCAUCCAAGCAUGCGUGUCCGGUCAUAGCGCUCAAGGCUCGUCACACCCUUCGCCAGGUGUGUGCAUGCUGAGGCCUCGGCCAGCUAUAGCGCCAAGUGUUUGCUGCCUAGGGCCGCGACUAGGGGCGCGUGGCUGGCCCCAAAGCCCUGGCUUGGCUACCCAAGCACAAGGUGUCGACAGUCUAAUCUAAUUAAAUGUCGCCUCUGCCGCUGCAUCACUCCCAUCUUAAUGACAAAAGUCAAAUGAGCCACCCCAGUCGCAAUUCUUGACUAAAAACACAGGUAAGGAACGCCCCCCAAGGUGCUAUAGUGUCAUCCACAGUUCAUUGUAUCUUGGGCCACAGUGCAUGUACAGUAGAAAAUCCUAAUACGUGUUAAGACAUAGCAAAGCAACUAUGUAAGUUUUAAUACAUAGCAAAACAACUGUGCAAAUCCACAAUUAAUUGUCUCUUGGUCCACAGUGCAUGCAUGUACAGUAAGUCCACAAUGAAUUAUCUCUCAGUCCACAAUGUAUUCAUGUAUAGUAGAAAACCACGUGUUUUAGAGUUUUGUUAAUAAUAAAAAAAAACAAAAAUAAUUUUGGUUUGUUGUAUACGUCUCAAUCUUUACAUAACAUUGCAAUUUAUUAAUAAAAAGGAGGGGAAAAUGUUUUUAGCAUUGUUUUUUUUUUUCAUUUUGUAAUUUACAAUAAGUUGGCCAAUAUUUGGCCAAUAUUUCAAUAACUCUAAAAAUUUUAAUUCCUAAAAAUUAAAGGUCAACAUUAUGGUAUAAAUGUUAGACCUACCAGUAGGCUAGUAUUUAAGUACCAGAAGUUAACUAGAAAAUUUUCAGAAUUAUUUUGGAUAUUCAUCAUUUUUAAUUGUGAGUAUUUUUUCAUCACAAUAUAUGAGUUGUGGAAAACAUUUUCACCUUUCAGGAUAGGUGACUCCUGUCAAAGCACCUACAUGAAUUUUUUUUAUAAGAAUUUACCUAAACAUACGAGUCCAUAAUAAAUUUGAAAUGUCAUAUUUAUUUAUGGGCGUAAUUCCUUUUUCUGAGCCAUAAAUGGGCUACCGGUUAGGAACCCAUCAACACGUUUAAACCACAUCAUGACAACACAAUACAACUUUACUCAAGUAAGGAUGUUAAUGCCUUUUUCUAGCCAAUACUGGUCCCUUACCCUGAAAUUUCAGAUAAGAUCAGUUACUUGGGUCUUCUAAUGACUUUGAAAUCACAAAACUAGGUGCGGACUCCUUAAUCCCGAUGCUGCAACACCGCGCGCACAUAGGCGACACAAUUCAUGCUUGAUUAAUCAUCCAUGUGAAUUAUUAGGUUUCGAAUAUGUUGGCACAAAUAUAAAUCAUAAUCUUAUUCAAAACAAGAUUAAAUAAAUUAAGCAAUUUAAGUUACUAUCAAUCCAACAAAUUGAUAGAUUUAUAUUUAAAUAUCAAAUGCAAGAUACCAUGAUCUCUUAAAUCUUGUCCCAGUAUAAAAAAAAUGUGAGUAUAUGAACCCAUGAAGUGGUAUCAGAAUCUAUUUUCCUAUUAUUAUUAACUAAACGGAAAGCCAUAUCUUACUGCUUAUACUAUAAUAUUGGGAUUGAGUGGUACAAUGUCCAGAAUGCUUCUAAGGAUAACCAUAUGUCCAUAUCCAUAAGAUCUCAAUGGAUUGACCCUUACUACAGAAUCUAGCACAUCCUUAAGCUAGAAUAAAGUGCCUUCACUGAUUAAUCUAGCAUAUAUAUCUAAUUAUUUGAAAAUCUUUUCAAAUUUCAUUCCACCUUAUAUAAAGAUUUAAUACUUAAUAUUAUUUGAGAAUACAUAUAGAUUGCAAGCAUCGGCUUUUAGUGUACUUUUGAUGACAUGAAACUACCACAAAAUGGGUCCUAUCCGAGAGAGUGUUCUCUUUCUGUUCUGUUAUCACAUAGAACUGAAAUCUGUUCAGAGUACCCCUCCAAGAAAAUUGAUGCGGGCAGAAAGACAAUAAUAAAUACAGAAAAAACACAAGAAUUUUAAUGAGCGAAAUGGGCUGUUGAUGUGAACAUUAAGUUCACAGGUUUUAUUUUCUCUUAAAUAACAAUCAUCACUACAAGAUUUCACAGUUUUACUGACGGACCAAUUCCGUCGAUGUGUGAUUAGAAGUUCGUCGGUGAUUUUUUUACCGACGUCAUCACCGACGGAUUACGUCCGUCCGUCGGCAUUCCCUUCGUCGGUGAUUCCCCCUUCCAUCGCUAUAUCGAUUGGAAAAACAAAAAAAUCAUUUGCCGAUGGUUUUACAGAUGGAAUUUGCGCGCCAAAAAAAAAGAUUCCCGCUUGAAAUAUACCGACGGAUUUUUAUUCUGUCGGUGAUAUUGUAAUUGACCGACGGAAACUAUCCGUCGGUAAAUACGUCGGUGAGUGUAUGAAAUACCGAACGAAUAUAUUUGUCUGUAAAUUCGUCGGUACUGGUGGCAGUUACUGUUAAAUGCCGACGGAUUAAUUCCAUCGGUAAUUCUGUCAGUGAGUGUUUAAAAUACCGACCGAAUUAAUCCGUCGGUAAAAUCCUUGGUAAUAGUUUUUUUCUUAAUUUUUUUUAAAAAAACUAUUUAGGAUAUAUAAUAUAAAACUAUUUAAAUUAAUUGUAAUACAAACCAAUUAUGCAAAAAAAAAUUAUAUUAAACAUAAAAAAAACAAAGUUAAAUAAUAUUCAUUACAAACUGAAUAUGUUUCAAGAAAAAUAUUAAAUGAAGUUUUAAAGGUAAAUAAUGUUGAUUACAAAUUAAUAUAAAGGUGGAGCUGGAGGAGGAGGAGGAGGAGAUCCUGGAGGAGGCUGGUGAUUAUACGGCCAAAAAAGAUUAGGCGCACAUGUUCCACUAUUUGUCAUGUUCAUUAGCAUUUCGCGAAGUUGUUCAUAAGCCGCUUUUUGUUGUUCAUGAGCCGCUUCAUACUCCGUUUUUUGUUGUGCUUGAGACGCUUUGAGUUGCUCAGACUACGCUCUUUGUUCCGCUCUUUGUUGUGCAUGAGACGCUUUGAGUUGUGCGUACUCCGCUUUUAGGUGAUCGUAUUUCUCGGUGAGCUGAGCUGUGUGUUGCUGCAAGGCCACGAACUCCUUAGAUUGGGAGCUCGAUAUUGAUUGGGAGCUCCCAACGGUUGAAACACUACGGGUCGACCGCAAGUUGUCGGCCGUAGUGUUGGAGAGCCCGUAAACCCGAUUUUUAUCGGGUCCACUUGACAAGCCAACCUCCAUCCACAAAUCCGGAUCGAAUUUCGAAUGGGUCAAAAUAUUGUCCCCGUAUCUCUCCCUCAACCGAUUAUUAUAGGUCUCCUGAAAAUAAAAAUAAAAAAGUAAUCAUCAUAUUCAAUACAAUAAACAUAAUAACUUACAUAAUAACUUACAAAAUAAAAUGGUUGAACAAACAUACCACGAAAUGCUGAGCACGGUUAUCAACGAACUGUUGCGCCCCCUUCUGGCAGUCUUGACUCUGCACGUGCGUCUCCACAAACAGCUCCAUCGGGCUCAGCUUACGUCCAAGAGACGCAGCCUAUAAUGAAAAAAGAUAUAUUAACAACAACUGAAUUUAACGAUAUAUUUCAUUUAAAUUAAUCUUACCAUCCGUUUCGCAUGUGCAGCAAACGGAACGGAGCCGUCAGUGUGCGUUGUCACCCCGCCAUGAAUUGGCCGAUUCCGGUUGCCAGCACCGGACUGUGAGUGUCGUGUGAACCGUUCAGACGUCACGUGCUCAAGAUAGUGCGGCCAUAUAUCUUCCGGGAUGUAUAUCGGUUUGAAAUCCCUCCAAACCGCAACAUCGUUCCAGCCUUGGAAACCCCUAUCCCUCGCGGUUUUUUUUGCCUUUUUUUGUGCUUCAUACCAAAAAUCACGCAACCUACUUCACGCAACCAAAAAUUACAUUUCGAAACAUAAAUUUUUGGCUAAAAAAAAUCCUGUAUUGUUUUCGAUCUUACCUAGUUGCCGCGUGAUUUUCCCACACCCUCCUCACAACAGUGUUAUGCUCACUGUCCCAGCAGAAUUUGUGCUGUGUAUAAAUAAACAAGCUUAAAUAAAAAUAAUAAUUUAUUUACAAUUAUAUUAAUAAGCUGAAAAUUAUAAAUUAAUACCAACCUCAAACCUGUUAAACCAUGCAUUGAUUUGAGGCAUCCAUUCAGGAUGCUUGGAUAUCUGACUCCAUUGAAACAAUGGAAUCUCCAUCGACGAUUUAAACGCCGAUGAUAUUACUCGGGCGGCUUCAAUGUUUGUGAACCUGAAAAUAAAUGAAAUAAAUUCAAUAGUGAUUACUUCAUAAAUUAUGUUGUAAUUUUUUUAAAAAAAAACUAAAACCUUAACAAACUUACAUUGAAAGGUCGUCCUUCCAUUGUGCCUCGUACUUGCGGGUAAAUUGAUUCCGCUGCGAAGGCACGCCGUCUCUGCGCUAUGAAGUACCGCUAGAAGAGGCAGCAUCGGUUGACGGCGCAGGUGGUGUAGGUGCCUCUUCUUGAGAGGCACCUAAGGAAAUAUCAUCAUCGCUGCUAGACGAACUAGCUGUGACCGUACUUGAGCGACCAGCUCUGGUUUUCGUUCUACGCAUCUACACAAUUUGAUACAAAUAAUUAUAUAAUUAAAUUCAAAUGUAAAAAAAAAAUUUGACAGCACCUCCCCUAUACCGGAUACUACCCAAAUCCACAAACAUGCACAUAUUAACAAUAGCCACAACCAAUUUACCCAAUCUAUACUAAUUAUUCCAACAUAUUCAAUUACUAAUCCUAAGGUAAAUUCAACAUUAAGAAUUACAAUUCAAGUAAUUAUUCAAUAAUUAUACCAAUAUAACAAAACAAUAAAUUAAAAAAAAAACUCUAGAAUAACAAUCAAAAUAAAUGGAAAAAAUUAAACACAAAGCAUGCAAUAAUAGAGUAAAACUAAUAAUUAUUCCAACAUAUUCAAUUACUAAUUCUAAAAUAAAUUCAACAUUAAGAAUUACAAUUCAACAAAUUAUUCAAUAAUUAUGCCAAUACAACAAAACAAUAAAUUAAAAAAAAACUCUAGAAUAACAAUCAAAAUAAAUGGAAAAAAUUAAACACAAAUCAUGCAAUAAUAAAGUAAAAUUAAUAAUUAUUCCAACAUAUUCAAUUACUAAUUCUAUGGUAAAUUCAACAUUAACAAUAAAUAUUCAACAAAUUAACUAAUAAUAAUUAUGCCAAUACAACAAUAAAAAAUAUUCAGUAAAUUUAAAAAAAAAACUAUAGACUUUAGCAAUGAAUUAUGCAAAAAAAACUAUAGACUUUAUCUACAUUACAAAAAAUACACCAAAAAAAAAAACUAACCAAAAAAAUAGCAAAAAAAAACCAUUAGAAGAAACACUAACCUUUUAAACUGAUGGAGAUUCACGAUAAAAAAAGCUUGAGAUCGCCUGAAGAACGGAGAGAAGAACGGAGAGGAAAAGAAUGGUGAAAAACUGAGGAGAAGAGAAAAUGAACUGAAGAGGCGGUCGGGGGAGUUUAAAUGCCAAUUUUACCGACGGAUUCACCGACGUCUAUAAAAUUAAUUAUUAUUUUAAUUUAUUCCGUCGGUGAGGUGUUAAAAAUCCGUCGGUAAAUUUUGAAUUUCGCACCAAAUUUUUUAAUGGCCCUCUAUAUUUUUCGCAGUCCGUGGCAAAUCCGUCGGCAAUCUGACGCGGUCAGAGAUGCAUUUAAUGCACAACCCUUUGAUAUUCGCGCAGUCCGUCGGGAAUUGUGUCGGUAAAAUUGACAACGUACCGACGACUAUAUAUUCGUCGGUGUGGUCGUCGAUGAUAUGGUGGCAUUACCAGUAAUUAUUUUCGAACUCUCUGUGAAAUGCCGACGGAAUUAAGUCCGUCGGUGUGGUCGUCGGUGAUGUGGUGGCAUUUCAAGUAAUUAUUUCCUGUCACAAAAUAUAUCAUCCAUGAUCAAUAAUUAUUUCAAGUAAUUAUUUCGUAAUUGUGGCAUUUCAACUAAUUAUUUCAAGUAAUAAAUAUUUUGUGUUUCAAAAUAUAUCAUCCAUAAUCUAAAUUACAUGAAAAAAAGGGUUUUACAUAGGGCUUCAUUUUGGUAGUUAGUCAGAAUUUUCUUCUUCUUCGUCAUCAAUUGAAUUGUCAUCACCUUCAUCGCAAUCUUCAACAUGAAUAUCAUCUUCUUCAUCGACAUUUGCUUGUCCGCUAGAGCUCAAAACAAAAUUCAACUCCUCUGCAUCAACAUCAACAUGACUAUCAUCGAAAACACGAAAAUUUGAAUUUUCUUCCAAUUCAAUCGAAGGAGUAACUCGAUAUGGUUCAACCACCUCACUAACUUGAAAGACUUCAUCUCGCACACUUGUGUCUUCAUUCUCAUCCUGAACAACCUCGACACGACCCCGGGGUUUUGUUUUUAAAACGGACAACCAAUCCACUCUUGAUCGAUCCUUUCUAAAUGAAGGGGUGUAUGUGUAAUAAACUUGUUGACAUUGCUUUGCGAAAACAAAGACAUCGUUUAUGUUGCGGAGUCUAGCUUUUGAGUUGAUUUCGACCAGACCAUAGUGCGGAUCAACUCUGAUUCCUCUGUCAGUCGUGUCAUACCAAUAGCAUUUGAAUAAAAACACUAUAUUCUGCUCGUCAUGAUAUUGUAGUUCGACGACCUCUUCUAAUCUACCAUAGUAGUCAACUUCUAACUCACUACUAGUGGAUCCCUUAACACAAACACCGCUGUUGUAUGUCUUUCUUCCUUGCCCGUAUUCUUCAGUAUGGAAAACAUAUCCAUUGACAAAAUACCCGUUGUAGCACUUACAUUUUCUUUCAAGCCCCAGGCUUAGUGAAGACAAUGACUUAGGUGCACUCCUUCCCAUUUGAUAAACCUUGUAUGUAAUGUACAUCAAUAAAUAGUAAAUGAACGAGAAUCUCGUAAUGACAUGCAUACGUACAGUAAUUUUGCAAGUUAGAAUGAGUUUGUGAUAGUGCUUACAUGUGUUCUGAACCACGUGGCAAACUGCUCAUCUUGUAAUUGAAAGAUCUGGGAUUCGGUCAGCUGUGAGUUAUUGGAGAGCAAAUAUUGACGAUGUUGCCUGCAAGUGAUAAUGAGUGUAUGAUAUUACAAUAUAUAAUUAACAGUAUAUUACUAACAAAGUUUAAUUAGUAUAAACUUACUGAAUAAAAGGUCUCAGCUCAUCACACUUAAAUAGAACAUAGUUGUGUGCUUGUUUGAACUCUAUUUCCGACAAAUAUCUUCCUCUUACGGCAUUUUUAUGUGUGGGUCAUCCAGUAUUGGAGAAUAUUGACAAGUUCCCACUGGAUGGCACUUCACCGCCAUCAUCAUGCCGUGGACCGCGAUUGAUUCUCGUUCUCAGAUGAGGUUCGAAAUAGUACGAGAUAAAUGUUGAGAUCUCCUCAACAAUAUAGGCCUCACAUAUCGAAGCCUCAACAUGCGCCUUGUUCUUAACCUUUUUCUUGAGAUUAAACAAGUACCUGCAUUGAAAUAUUAAUCAAGUAUUUUCAAUUAAGAAAAACAUAUAAAAUACUUUUAUAUAUGAAUUACAUUGCAACUGUAAUAUCUAACCGUUCGAAUGGGUACAUCCAUCUAUAUUGGAUCGGACCUCCAGCUUUUGCCUCGAACGGUAGAUGUAUAGGGAGAUGCUCCAUUGAGUCAAAAAAUGAUGGAGGGAAUAUCAUCUCAAGUUUGCAUAGUGUCUCGACGAUAUUCGUUUGAAGCCUCUCAAUGUGAUCAACAUUCAACUUGCUGGAGCAUAUAUCUCUGAAGAAAUGACUAAUCUCCGUGAGUGCAUCCCAUAUUCCCUUUGGCAACAAAUCACGAAAAGCUAAUGGGAUGAGUGUUUGCAUAAACACGUGGCAGUCAUGACUCUUCAUUCCAUACAAUCUGCAGUCCUCUAUAUUAACCAGCCUUGAUAUGUUCGAUGCAUGUCCAUCCGGAAAACGCAGACUCUUAAGUCAUUUGUAGACUAGCAGUUGUGCGUUUUUCUCUAACACGAAGCUUGCUCUUGGUUUUGCAACCCGUGACUCAUCAUAAACCAACUCCAUAUUUUUACGGUUACAGUAUAAAGCUAUAUUCAAUCUAGCCUUGAUGUUGUCCUUUGUCUUCCCCUUCACAUCCAUGACGGUGUUGAAAAUGUUCUCAAACAUGUUCUUUUCGAUGUGCAUGACGUCAAGGUUAUGGCGGAGCAGAUUGGUCUUCCAAUAAGGAAGCUCCAAAAAGAUACUUCGCUUUACCCAAUUAUGGGUCAAACCAAAACCAGGAAACUUUUGCUUACCUGAUUGAAGGCCAAACACAAUGUCACCGUACUCUGAGACAACAUCAUGCAAUUCUUCACUAGAAAGACGCAGGGAUGCAACAUCUUUUUCAACUCUGCCAACAAAGAAAUCUUUUUUGUUCUUUCUGUACCUGUGAUGAAGUGGCAAGAAGCGACGGUGACAGUAAAAAAAAGAAGCUUUACCUCCAUUUGCUAGCGUGAAUGCCUUGUUGUUUUCCAUGCAGUAUGGACAUGCGAGUUUCCCAUGCGUGCUCCAACCAGAAAGCAUUCCAUAAGCUGGAAAAUCAUUGAUAGUCCACAUCAAUGCCGCCCUCAUAAGGAAAUUUUGUUUCCUCGAUAUAUCAUAAGUCAGAGCUCCGGAGGACCACAACUGCGCCAACUCAUCAAUCAACGGUCGAAGACAAACAUCUAUAUUCCGCCCCGGGCUUCUUGGACCGGGUAUGACAGUAGAUAAAAACAUGAACUCCGGCCUCAUACACAUUCCCGGUGGCAAGUUAUAAACUGUGAGUAUGACCGGCCAACAAGAAUAAGGAGCAGCAAAUGACCCAAAUGGGUUGAAUCCGUCUGUACACAACCCAAGACGCACAUUCCUUGAUUCAGCUGAAAAGUGAGGAUGAACACUGUUAAAGCGUUUCCACGCUUCGCCGUCAAAAGGAUGAACCAUCACUCCAUCAACCGCAUGGUGUGCUUGGUGUCAUGUCAUGUGCUCAGUAGUCCUUGGUGACAUGAAUAACCUCUGCAGUCUAGGUGUGAUCGGGAAGUAUCUAAGUUUUUUAUAUGCCACUAGAGUCUUUUCCCUGCUAGUUCUAGGUUUGUAACGGGAAUGCCCGCAUGUCAUGCACUUGGUCAUCUCAGCAUUUUCAAGGUAGUAUAACAUGCAGAAGUUAGGGCACAUGUCAAUUUUUUGGUAUCCUAAACCGAGGGGUUUCAUCAUGGACUUCGCAGCAUAGAAGUUCUCUUUCAGCCUGUUCCCUUCAGGUAAAAUGCUUCUCGCCCAUUCAAUAAUCUUGUCAUACUCGGCCUCACUCAACCCGUGAUCUGACUUGAUGGUGAACAUUUGUGCUACGACCGAUAAUUUACUGUGGUUCGUGCAGCCAUCCCAUAAUGGUUCGUUAGAAUCUUUCAACAAAUCAAAAAACCUAGCUGCAUCUGCAUUAGGUUCUUCUUCUACGAUUGGACAUUGACUGCCAUUACCUUGAUUCAUUCUCAUUGCAUCCAUAACCAUAUUUCUGUAAGGAUAAGUGUUGUCAUUUGCCGCUUCAUGCACGUUGCUAGCACUAGAAGUAGACCCAACCACCAUUUCUUCCAUUCUCCUCUUACUACCAAAUACUUCUCCAUAUGCAUACCAACACUGGUAAUUCUCCAUAAACCCUUUGUGUAGAAGAUGCAUCAUUACAACAUCUGGAUGCAGAUACUUUUUAUUUUCACACUUCCUGCAUGGACACCUAAUACCGCCUCCAAUAAAAUUUCUAGGAAUAGAUGUUGCGAAAUUAAUAAAACCCUGAACCCCGUUACAAUAAUCCAUCCUCCGCAAUCCUUGGGGUGAAUCUCGAUACAUCCAUGAACGAUCAUCCAUGACUUAUAUCGAACCUCUAUAAAAUUAUGAUGACAUCAUGUAUUAAUUAACUAAGUUAGGUAAAUAAACUUGCAAAAAUAUUACUUUACCUCGAGAUUAUCCAACAAACCAAUCACAACUUCUCAUAAAUAUUAAAUAUUCAUUAUUAUUUAUCAACGUCCAUACGAAUUAAAAUAUAUAAAUUUACAGAAAUUACCACUCCGCAAUACCAUUGAUAAAACUUUAAACGGACCCAUUAAGCAAGCUAUUAAUUAUUUCAAAAUAGCACAUGUAAUUCAUAUACUAACAAAAUACAUUUACUAAAAAAACAAUAAAAUUCACAUUUAAUUAAAUGUUAAAAUUUAAAAAGAUAGAAUUACUUACAAAAAUUGAUAAAAUCCAUCGGUAAAUCAGAACACGGAUGCUGUGACCACAAAACUUCAAGAAAUAUAACUUGUUGUGCUGAUAUGAGGAAGAUUUUUUUUUGGGGGGGGAGGGGGGGCUGGUUGUUUGCAGAUGGGGAGAGUUGGGAUUAGGAAGAAGAAGGAGAAAUAGGGGAGGAGAGGGUCAGCAGAGCUGACAUGUAUAUAUAUUAACUUUUUCCAACGGUUUCACCGACGGACACUCCAUCGGUGAUUCUGACGGACACAUAGACACGUCACCAUACGGAUCUGCCAUUUCAAAUCCCUCGGUGAGUCCGUCGGCAAUUUAAACGGCGAACCGGUCACGUCACUGUACGGGCUGUCGUUUUGAUUUCGUCGGAACAAAAUAACCCGCCAAAACCUCCACGUCAGUGACCCGCCUUUUUUUUAAAUUCGGAAACUUUUUCGUCCGUAAUUCAGUCGGUAACUACCGACGGAAAUUUUCCGUCUGUAGUUACCGACUGAAUUACGGACGGAAAAUGGUCCGUCGGUAGUUACCGACUGAAUGACAGACGGAAAAGUGUCUGUCGGUAAUUUCGACCUCAAAUUACCGACAUAAAUAUUUCGUCUGUAAAUCCGUUGGUAUUUAACGAAUUUCUGGUAGUGGAACUAAGCAUAUUGAGAUCGAUUAUCAUCUUACUCGUCAUCAUCUCAAGCAUGGAACCAUUGCUUUGCCUUUUGUUCCUUCUUCCUUGUAGAUUGCAGAUUUCUUUACCAAGGCGCAUUUCAUCUCUCGUUUUCAUUUUCUGGUUGGCAAACUCUCAAUGCUUGUAGCUGCCGCAUCGUGAGUUUAAGGGAAGAUGUUAAAUAACAUUUAUGUAGUCUUGUUUAUUAAGGGUAGAAUAUUACUUUCAGUUUAACCUAUAUAUACUUUAUUUGUUUUUAGGUUAAGACUAAGCACUCAUAAUAUACAGAUUAUUCAGAAUUCUAGCCUCCCUUUUGUGUUUGAUCUUAAUUCAUUUUAACAAUGCUAUUUGUUGAAGUUGUUGCCAGCCUUCAAAAGGUCACUCGAUCUCAUUUUAGAAACUGAUUUCUCAAACAUGGAAACCUGGAAUCUCAAAAUCUUCUUAAUCAGUACAUUCCUAGUGAACAAGUAUGUCAAGGAGAAAUAAAAGGAUUGUCAAUGCAUUUUUCCAGACUAAAGUUGAGUUUAAGGACAUUCAAAAAGGUACAGUUUGCAAGGCCCGGGGGGAUUUCCCCUGAGAAAUUGUUGGAAGAGAGGUAGAGAGACGUGGCAUACUGAAUUAUUUUAGAGAUAUUUUGUGGAAUAGAUCCAAAGAGCUCAUUGCUGGAGAGAUCUAUGCCCGUUAUGCUUGUGCAGUGUUUAAGGCCAAGAGGGAACCUGCCCUUGAGACCCAUAUCCGGAAGUCUGAUAUUCAACACCCUAUUCUCACUAGGAUCGAUGCCACCAUUCAACCCCCAAAAAGGUACAAAUGAAUCCUUCAGUAGAAUUCUCAAAGUUCCAAGAAGAGUUCGAGUAAUUAUCAGGGAAAGGUUUAGCCAGGUUGAGCAACAAUAGUGGUCACGGCUGCAACAAAGUUGUCACUGGCAGCAGCGUUGUGGGCAACAAUGUUGCUGGCACGAGUCAUGAACGUUUCUGUCCAUGAUGGUUAAUUCCUUGAGAUUGUUGGUAAGGACACAAUGGAGGAACAACAUUAAAGAUACUAUCUUUAAAGAUAUUUCCUCUAAAAAAAAAUUAUAUUUAAAAAUUAUUAUUAUAAACAAAAAACACUCAAAAAGUAUAGGUUUUACCUCGUAUAUAAAGGAAACAAAGAUUUUUUUCUUGCUCAACCCAACCUUAAACCUAUUAGAUUUAAAUAUUUCAACUUAAAAAAAAAUAUUAUACAUUUAAUUGGAAUAAAAAUCUUUUAAAUAACUUCUCAAAUUAUAUUAUAUUAUUUACAACAAAUUUUUCAAACCAUUGCAGUAAUUACAAUUCAAAUUAAAUUAUAAAUUAUUAAAUAUUAUUUUAAUAUAUUUUUAAAUAAAAAACAUUUUAAAAAAUAAAAAAAUACUCCUGAUAUACCCUGCUAUGCAGCUCUGCCGCUUGGAAAAUGAGCUAGAAAAGGUUACGGGAGGAGAAAGCAAUGCAAAUUCAUUUGAACAGCCUCCAUGAUUUUCAUUUUUGCAAUUAAUAGAAAAUUUAAAAUAAUUAUGAAAAAUCAAUGUAACUUCCCUCAUAUAUAUAUAUAUAUAUAUAUAUAUAUAUAUAUAUAUAUAUAUAUAUAUAUAUAUAUAAUCCGGGAUGUUCGGGUCAGCUUACGCGUACCACGAUUUAUUUUUGGAUCCANNNNNNNNNNNNNNNNNNNNNNNNNNNNNNNNNNNNNNNNNNNNNNNNNNNNNNNNNNNNNNNNNNNNNNNNNNNNNNNNNNNNNNNNNNNNNNNNNNNNAUUCUUCAAGGAUAGUUUAAUGUUUUAAAAGUAUAAAAUUUAAAAGAAAUUUUAAAAAAGUAAUUAGGAUUUCUGUUUUGAAUACUUCAAGUAUAAUUCAAACUUUUAAAUUUACAAAAUUUAAAAGAAAUUUUAAAAAAGUAAAUAGAAUUUCUGUUUUGGAUUCUUCAUGGAUUGUUUAAAUGUAUUAAAAUUAUAAAAUUUAAAAGGAAUUUAAAAAAAGUAAUUAGGAUUUCUGUUUUGGAUUCUUCAAGGAUAGUUAAAAGAUUUAAAAUUAUAAAAUUUAAAAGAAUUUAAAAAAAGGAAUUAUGAUUUCUGUUUUUGAUUUUUCAAUGAUAAUUAAAAGUUUUAAAAUUAUAAAAUUUAAAAGAAUUUAAAAAAAGGAAUUAGGAUUUCUGUUUUGGAUUCUUCAAGGAUAGUUUAAAUGUUUUAAAAGUAUAAAAUUUAAAAGAAAUUUUAAAAAAGUAAUUAGGAUUUCUGUUUUGAAUACUUCAAGUAUAAUUCAAACUUUUAAAUUUACAAAAUUUAAAAGAAAUUUUAAAAAAGUAAAUAGAAUUUCUGUUUUGGAUUCUUCAUGGAUUGUUUAAAUGUAUUAAAAUUAUAAAAUUUAAAAGAAAUUUAAAAAAAGUAAUUAGGAUUUUUGUUUUGGAUUCUUCAAGGAUAGUUAAAAUAUUUAAAAUUAUAAAAUUUAAAAGCAUUUAUAAAAAGUAAUUAGGAUUUCUGUUUUGGAUUCUUCAAGGAUAGUUAAAAGAUUUAAAAUUAUAAAAUUUAAAAGAAUUUAAAAAAAGGAAUUUGGAUUUCUGUUUUGGAUUCUUCAAGGAUAGUUUAAAUAUUUUAAAAGUAUAAAAUUUAAAAUAAAUUUAAAAAAAAUAAUUAGGAUUUCUGUUUUGGAUUUUUCAAGGAUAAUUAAAAGUUUUAAAAUUAUAAAAUUUAAAAGAAUUUAAAAAAAGGAAUUAGGAUUUCUGUUUUGGAUUCUUCAAGGAUAGUUUAAAUGUUUUAAAAGUAUAAAAUUUAAAAGAAAUUUAAAAACCAAAUUAUGAUUUUUGUUUUGGAUUCUUCAAGGAUAGUUUAAAUGUUUUAAAAGUAUAAAAUUUGAGAGAAAUUUUGCAAAAGUAAUUAGGAUUUCUGUUUUGAAUACGUCAAGUAUAAUUCAAACUUGGAAAUUUACGAAAUUUGAAAGAAAUUUUGAAAAAGUAAAUAGGAUUUCUGUUUUGGAUUCUUCAUGGAUUGUUUAAAUGUAUUCCAAAUAUAAAAUUUAAAAGAAAGUUUAAAAAAGUAAUUAGGAUUUCUGUUUUGGAUUCUUCAAGGAUAGUUUAAAUGUUUUAAAAGUAUAAAAUUUAAAAGAAAUUUUAACAAAAUGACUAUGAUUUCUGUUUUGGAUUUUUCAAUGAUAAUUAAAAGUGUUAAGAAUUAUAAAAUUUAAAAGAAAUUUAUAAAAAGUAAUUAGGAUUUCUGUUUUGGAUUCUUGCAAAGAUAGUUAAAAGAUUUAAAAUUAUAAAAUUUAAAAAAAGAAAUUAGGAUUUCUGUAAACCCCCGUAAAUAAAAAUAAAUAAUAAUAAUAAUAAAAAAAACACAUAGGAUCGAAGUAAUGACAUUUCGAUGAGUAAUGGAUAUUCGGUAUGAAAGAAAUGAAUAAAUAGUAGGGAUGACAAUAAAUGUGUCAUGUGAGAGAGAGAAUGAUCUCCAUAAACAAAUUUAAAGAUAUUGUUGAAGUCGAAAAGAGAGUCAUGAUUUUUAGUUUAAAACUUGUAACGUUAGCGAAACUAGUGACGAGUUUUAAUGGAUAAAAGAAUAAGAAAAAAAAAACCAGAAGAUAUGUAAACCCGGGUCAAAACACGUAUUUUGACAAAUUAAUGAUAAAUGUGGUAAUAUUGAAUUUAUUGAGUAUAAAUUAAGAGGAAAUGUCACGAGGAUCUAAGUAAAUAAAUUAAUGCGUGAAAUUCAGAUUUUAGCGUAAAAGACAUUGAUUGUCUAGUUUUACGGUAUCGAUGAUAUAUCUCAAUCCGACCGUUGGAUCGGGCUGAAAUUUUAUAAGGAAUCUCCAGACAUAUUAUUUUAUAUUAGGUUCAAAUUUCGUGUCAAUCGGAGUUUGGGAAGGAUUUGCGAGAGCACUGAAAAUCGGGUAAAUUGAAGAAGAUGACACAAAGGGCAUUAAUAAGGGCUUUUUUGUAAUUUUAUCAAAACAAAUACUCUCCUCUCCUCUCUUUAAAAACAGAGCACGUCCUCUGCAAAUGGAAAAACAGGAGGGAGACCAUUUGUUUUGUCCCAUUUUCUUCAUUUUCUCUUCAUUUCUUCAAGCUAAAUCAAAAGGGAGUGUGCUUAGGAGGAUUAUAUCCAAGAAAACAAAUUAAAUGACAACUUAGAGAGUUAUAGAGCUUGAGAGAAACAAAGAGAAGAAGCUGGAAAUUGGAAGAGGAGGACAUGAUUUUUGUAAAUUUUUGCAAGAAUUCAUUGAAAUAAGUUAAAGUAGCAAAGGUAAGCAACAUACCCUUUAGUAAUUUCGUUUUUCUCUCUUGUUCUUGCAUGAGGAGAAGAAAACCUCCAAGUUUAAAAUUCUAGGGUUCAUGUAAAUAUUUUGGGGGAGUAAUUGUUCAUGUGAAUUUCAAGAUUAAUUGCAUGAUAAUGGCUUGAUUUGCUGAAAAAUAGAAGGAAUAAAUUGAUUUGAAACUAUGGGUUUUGGGAUUGCAACAGGGCAGGAACUUCGGCAGCCAUAUUUUGACUUUGCACCGUUGGAUUAGAUUGAAUUUUGGAUAUGUUAUUAUACUCAAUGUCACCUACAUUCUGACCGGAGGGAUUGCAAAUAUCCGAUUUCGUUUGAGGGCUGUCACCGGAGGAACAUUUCUGGAAAAUCACCCUUCAAGACAGCUUUGUUCGUCGGCCGUUAUAUCAUCGUUUCACCGUUGGAUUGGUCUGGAUUUUGGACAUGUUAUUCAUCCAGAUGUUAUAUAAAUUCUGAACGGUUUGGAUCGGAAAAGAACACUCCUACCAGAAAUUAUACUUCCCGAACAGCAGGUCUCCAAAUUUCAGGUCAGUCCAGUAUUGUUCUGAUAUCGGGAGGUUUAACCGUUGGAUGUAUGUUAAUUUUGGAUAUGUUAUUCGAAUGAUGAUGAUGUAUAAUUCCACCGUUUGGAUUUAUUGAAUUCUAAAUUUACAGAAUGAUGUUUUAAGUUUGGUUUGAGAAAUAUUGAAUGAGAAUAUGAGGUUUAGCAUAAAAAGUAUGUUUUGGGACUAAGGAUAAUGGCAAUGGGUUUAAUGAUGAUGGUUGUGUUUGUGUUAUGUUUGAGUCAUGUUUGAUGUGUUGAUAAGUGAUGAUAUAGUUAAAUUCUAUAAAGAAUAGUGAUUGACUAAUACUUUGGUUGUGUUAGAAUGGGAAAUCAUGUUGUAAAUUUUGACCAAAACCAUAGCAGGGUAUGACCCCCAGGGUGUAUGGCUGCUGGGUUUGGCUGUGCAACCAUACCCAAUAUCCUUGGGUAUGGUUGCGCAGCCAAACCCAACACCUUUGGAGGGUAUUGGGUCCUGCACCUGAUCAAAAUAGCUAUAGUAUAAGUAAUCCAUCCUAGGGACAUCGGCAUAGGAAGAUUGAAAAAAAAAAAACAAAACGAUUGAUUUCCUUUGGUAGAUGGAUUGGAAAUCCAUGUUAUCACGUAUGUGAGAAUUCAACCCCCCGUACCUCUCUAUAUCUCUGUACAUCGUAAAUAUAUAUAUAUAUAUCUUUUUCACUACAGUAUAACACCACCAUUGAAUAUUAAUGCAAGAUCAUUGAUCAAUAAGGACGACUGGCUUCCAGACCCACCAACCAUACCCAAUUAAAUUUCUUUGUCGUUGCCUUCUCUGAUUUAAAUUUAUGUUUCAAAAUAAAUUGAUGAGAUUUUUUUUUAUAUUGUAUAAAAGUUGAGUGAUAAUAGUUUUUCCCAUUUUAGGUUGGGUUGAAUUUCCUAAUUAAAUCAUGUCUGAUUUUGCAUUUCGAAAAUUCCUUGAAAAGUUUUUGAUAAUUUUUAAGUUUUUUUUCUUUGCUUGAAAUUAAUAUUUUUGUUAUGCUUUUGUAUUUUUUUUUUUAAAAUAUGUUGAGAUUAUGUCUGGCUGCGAUGCCAAACCCAAGAAAUUUUAAAAUUUUUAAUUUUUUUCUUUACUUCAAAAUAUUAUUUUCUCCAUGUUUUUGUAUUAUUUUUUAAAUAUUUUUUUUAAAAAUAUAUUGAGAUUGUGUCUGGUUGAGAGGCGAGACUCAAGAAAUUAAAAAAAAAUUAUUUUUUUCUUUACUUCAAAUUAAUUUUCGUUUGAUAUUUUUUUCUUCACUUCAAAUUAUUUAGAUCAUGUUUGAUUUUGCAUUUCAAAAAUUCUUUGAAAUUGUUUUGACAAUUUUGAAGUUUUUUUUCUUUACUUCAAAUUAAUUUUUUUUUUAUGUUUUUGUUUUUUUUUAAAUGUUGGCAUUGUGUUUGUCUGCGAUGCUAGACCCAAGAAAUUUUCAAAUUUUAAUUUUUUUCUUUCCUUCAAAAUAAUAUUUUUUUUCAUGUUUUUAUAUUUUUUUUAAAAUAUAUAUUUUAAAAAAAUAUUGAGAUUUUGUCUGGCUUGUUUUUGGGGCCUCUAAACCCAAGGGCAGUUAGAACAGACCUCGACGGUGGGUCUGCACCCAGCGCACUGGUCCAGAGGCCAGGAGCGCGGGGUUGCAGACCCUGCCUCGCGGGUCUGCAAACCCUAGGGUCGCAAGGUUGCACACUCGCUCGCACUGGAAUGCAGCCAGGCGCGCGGGUCUGCCCUACCACCUAAGGCAUGGCAGGCCCCGUGCCAGGUGUCUGCAUGCUAGGGCCUUGGCCAACCCUUGUGCCAAGUGGCAGCAGCCUAGAGCACGAGCAGGCGCACGUGGUCUGCCCCACUCCCAGGCCUGACAGCCUAAGCGCCAAGUGUCCCCAGCCUUAUGGGUUGUGCGUCCAGCGAGGCACUUGGGGCCUACACUAAUAUUUUUUUCAAAAAUUAUUUUUUAACAAUAAUAAUAAUAAUAAUAAUAUUUGUUAUUAUAUUUUUUUUUUGCAAUUUCCUUCUAUUUUUAAUAUUAAUACAAAUAAUAAUAUUUAUUAAUAAUAUUUUUUUUAACAUUCAAAGAAAUUAAAAAUAAAAAUAUUUAGAAUAAAAAUAAAAAUAUUUAGACUACAAAUAAUAAUAUUUAUCACAUAUAUAUAUAUAUAUAUAUAUAUAUAUAUAUAUAUAUAUAUAUAUAUAUAUAGCCGGAAGAAAUUAGAAAAAUAAUAGGAGUCUGGAGCGGUCAGAAAAUGGUUAGAAAAAUUGAUUAAGGAGGUUAAAAAAUACAAAGAUUGAAAUUUUGACAAUAUAUACUUGAAUGAUGAGAGCCCUGUUGGAAAAGAAAAUUCAAUUUGAGGAGAAAAGUACAAAAUUAGAUGUUUAUGGACUCAAUUGGAUUUUAUUGAAGGUUUAAUUGAAUUUAUAGAGGGUUUGAUUGCAAGAAAAAUUGUUUUUUAAGUCAAUUUGGGCUUUAAUUGGAAGAAAUUAAAGUUCUGGGGUCAAAUUAUAAUUUUUAAGAGUUGAUUUGGUCAAAUUAGGGGCUUAAUUGCAUAAAUAUUGAAGUUUGAUGGCCAAUUAGGGACUUAAUUGAAGAAAUCCGAAACCAAGGACCAAACUAGAAAAGGCGCGUAAAUAGAGGGGCUGUAAUUAACCAAAUCAGGGCUUAAAUUAAAGAAAUUGGAAGUUUAUUGAUCAAUUGAGGGUCAAAUUGUAUAAAUCGGAAACCAAGGACGAAAGUGGAAAAGGCGGCCAACUAUAAGGGCGGCGAUUGAAGUUGGCAGGGAUUCAAUUGAAAUGAACAAAAGAUAAAUUAAGGACUGAUUUGGAAGUUGACGUGUUGGCGCCAUAUUUAAAUGAAACGGCGCGUUUUGUCCAAAACGACGCCGUUUCAUGUUGAAAAAAAAUAUAACAGAACGGUGUCGUUUUGAGAGACACUGUUCCUCCUUCUUCUUCCCCUGGACGCGCAGCAGGGGAAGAAAGAAACUUUUGUUUUUUCUUCUUUAAUUCUUCAUGCCUAUCUCCCUCCCCGCGUGCUUUGCCAAACAUCCGAAGCCCGAUGCCCCCUCAUAAUGAGAAACUAGCAAAGACGUGCCCAGCAAACCGAGCCCGUUGGUCACCUCAACCGGCGUCGUGACAGGGCAGUAAAGCCCUGCUCCCCAUGCGCAGCAAUAGGGCGGCAAUAGGGAUGCCCCCGCUCCCUUUGCCCUAUAUAUACCACCCAACGCCAGCACAUGACAAAAAAAAGACAGAGGACGAAAAAGAAAACGAGAGGAAAAGAAAAGGAAAGCAGACGGUGGAGAGAGAGAGAGAGAGAGAGGAAGACGAGUUUGAAACAGGGGAGGGUUUGAGAGUAAAAAAAAACAGACAGAGAGGAACAAAAAGAAAGGUAAACAUAGCAGCAGAAGAGGAAAGAAAACGAAGGAGAAGGGAAGAGCAGUAACCUCUCGCUCCGCCGUUUGUAACAGCGACACCGCCACCGGCCUCCACCGCAGCACCGCCAGCGAAGCAGCCAGACCAGCAAGGCACCUCCUCCUCCGCGUCAGGUAACUUUUCUUUCCCCUCCCUUUUUACUUCAUUUUGGGCAUAAGUUUCUCCUGCAUGCAGAAUGAAUAGCGUUCUGCAUGCAGGAGGAGGAGGAGAGGGGGAAAAUAAUUCCCCCUCCCUGUUUUUUCUUUCUGGGCCAGGCCGGUUCUGGCCCAGCCCUUAUGUCUGGGCCGGGUCCGGCCCGGACCCAAAGAAGCAGAGAGAACUGUUGGGCCGAGAUCGGCCUAACCCUUUUGGGCUGAGGCCGGCCCAGUUAACUGGGCGACCCAGCCCACACAAUUAUAAUAUUAUAUAUUAUAGUAUAUUAUAUUAUAUAUAUAUAUAUAUAUAUAUAUAAUUUUUUAAAAAACAAAUUCUAAAAAAUCCUUAAAAAUUUUGUUGAUUUUUCUGCAUAUUUUUUUUAUCAAAAUUAUUUAAUACUAGUUUGUAUUUUUAUACCGUAAAGAUACAGAUCCAGUAUUAAAACAUCCGGUUUUCGUCAAAACAUUGCAAAAAAUUUAUAUAAAAUAAAAAAAUAUUUUGUUUUUCAUGCAUACGGCCAAGUAUUUCAAAGAUAAGAAAAAUCAUCACAUCGUAUUUUCAUACAAAAAAAAAUCAUAUUGUUUUUUUAUACAUAAAACACAAAAUAUUCAAAAAUAUGUUUUAGCAUGCACUUUGGCUUUAAUAACAAGUUUGUUAGAGCCAUGAGAACUAGGCCAAUAUUUCAAAAAUUCUAAAAAAAUAUUUUUGUCUUCUUUUAGUAUCUGGGAUUACGAAUUUAUACGUAAAACGUAUUCCUGAUAUUAAAAAUGUAGUUUUCUUAUAUAGGCGUUAGAACGGUUAGAUUUUUACCCGAUAAGAUAAGGACCUCUUUACUGAGGAGGACUUUUCUUGAACUAUAGACGGACCAACAAUUAGAAAUACAAUAGCACCUUAGCUUUUUAUCAGACAAUCAAACAAUGCAGCUUACCUUAGGUAAGGCGUAUUUGGGGUGCUAAUACCUUCUCUUUAUGCAAUCAAUCCCCGUACUCGAUCUCUGAGACCAGUUAGAGUUCCUAGUGACCAAAAUACUAGGUGGCGACUCCCAUUCUAUUUUCCACCGAUAAAAGACAAGAUUUUCUUGUCUCCCCAUAUUUGCCACAUAGAUAUACAUUUAGAUUGAAGUGGAAUAUUCAUCACGACGCCGCACACGUGUGACAAUAUUAAGAAUAAUAUCUACAGUAAUAAAUUUUUUAUGUUAAUUAACAAUGAGACAAUAAUAAUAAUGAUAAUUGCUAUUGUAUUUUUUCCCCCUACAGGGUCUGCCGAUCCAGCCAUGCGAGCCUCUAAACCCAAGGGCGGUUAGAACAGACAUCGGCGGUCCGGUCUGCACCCAGUGCGCGGGUCAUGAGGCUAGGAGCGCGGGGUGCAGACCCAACCUCGCGUGUCUGCAGACCCCAGGAUUGCGGGGCUGCAGACCCGCUUGCCGUGGGGCUGCAACCAGGCGCGCGGGUCUGCCCCUAGCACCUAAGGCGUGGCAAACCCCGCGCCAGGUGUCUAUAUGCUAGGGCCUCGGCCAGCCCUAGCACCAGGUGACAGCAUCCUGGGGCGCGCGCAAGCGCGCAUGGCCAACCCAACGCCCAGGCUAGUCAGCCCAAGGGGGUGUGCGUCCACCUAGACGCUUGGGGCGUGCAAUAAGAUUUUUUUCAAAAAAUGUUUUUUAAAGAAUAAUAAUAAUGAUAAUUGUUAUUAUAUUUGUUUUUUCCAAUUUUCGUCUAUUCUUAAUAUUAAUACAUUUAAUUAAAAUAAUAAUAAUAAUAAUAACAGUAAGAAUACAAAUAAUAAUAUUAUCAUAUUAAUAAUAAUAUUAAACUUGUUUGACCAAAGUUGAUACAAUAUUAAUAAUAAUAUGAAGCUUGCUUGACCAAAGUUAAUACAAUAUUAAUAAUAAUAUUUAUCACAUAUUUUAUCAAAUUAUUUAUAAAUAAUAAUAUAUUUUUUAUGUUUGAAAAAUCCAUUUUUUAUAUACUCACAUCAAAAAAUUCAUUCGUGUAAAAAGGAAAUAAUAAUAUUAACUAUAUAUGCAUAUCCAUAAGAUCUCAAUGGAUUGCCCCUUACUACAGAAUGUAGCACAUCCUUAAGCUAGAAUAAAGUGCCUUCACUGAUUAAUCUAGCAUAUCUAAUUAUUUGAAAAAAAUUUCAAAUUUCAUUUCACCUUACAUAAGAAUUUAAUACUUAAUAUUAUUUGAGAAUACAUAAAGAUUGCAAGCAGCGGCUUUUAGUGAACUUUUGAUGACAUGAAACUGCCACAAAAUGGGUCCUAUCCGAGAGGGCGUUCUUUUCUGUUCUGUUAUCACAUAGAACUGAAAUCUGUUCACAGUACCCCUCCAAGAAAAUGGUCUCUCAAGGUAAGUCCUGAGGAAUUUGACACAAAUAAAACGAUAUAUCUUGUCCCAGUAUCAAAAAAAUGUUAAAAAAUGUGAGCAUAUGAACACAUGAAGUGGUCUCAGAAUCUAUGUUCCUAUUAUUUUUAACAAUACGGAAAGGCAUAACUAACUGUUUGUACUAUAAUAUUCUUUGGUAUAUUUAUUACCGAUGGACUCACUAGCAGACCAUAAAUUAUUGACGAGAGUUUUUUCGACGGACUGUCUCCAUCCGCGUGAGCCUGUCAACAAAAUACAUACCAAUGAACUGUGAGUGUGAAUAUCGACAAAAUUUUCUGUUAGUAAAACUGUUAAAUUUGGUAGUGAUCGCUUGAUCCGCCACUAGAAGUGAUGACAAGUUAUGACCAUUUUAAGUUGUUAUUCUGGUCUGACACAAUUAGACCUUCUCUUGGACCUAGACUUGUCCUACUAGUCUAUAAAUAUAUAUGUUAGAACAUCCAUAUCAUCUGUCUAGAGCAGAUACUAAUCUAAUUGUGACAGACCCACAUAUGGCAGCUCAGAAUCAUCUGUUAUCGCAAACCCAACUACAUCAUUAAUGGUCUCUCAAGGUAAGUCAUGAGGAAUUUGAAGCAUAUAAAACGAUAUAAGUUGUCCCAAUAUCAUAAAAAUGUUUUAAAAAAAUGUGAGUAUAUGAACCCAUGAAGUGGGAUCAGAAUCUAUGUUCCUAUUGUUAUUAACAAAACGGAAAGCCACAACUAACUGUUUGUACUAUAAUAUUGGGAGUGAGAGGUACAAUGUCCAGAAUGCUUCUAAGGAUAACCAUAUCCAUAAGAUCUCAAUGGAUUGCCCCUUACUGCAGAAUCUAGCGCAUCCUUAAGUAAAUAAAGAAAGCUAGAAUAAAGUGGCCUCAGUGAUUAUUUAGCAUUAUUAAGUAGGCCAAGUACUCUUCACUGCUUAUUUCCUAAUAAUUCCUUACUGUGGAAUUGCACUUACAAAUAAAGAACUUGUUCUUGAUAUUUUCGUACGGAAUUUCGUUUAUUCGGAUUAAUUUGAGGUUAACUAGAAUAAGAAAUAAAGAUAUAGGUUUUGGAAAGAAUAGAAAAAAAGAUUAUCAAAAGAAAUUAGAAAGGAAAAGUUAGUUAUAUGGAAUCAGAUUCACCAUUAAACUAAAGAGUCGGAAGGAAUCAUUUGUUCAAUAAUUGAAUGCGAUUUUUGUCUUAUAUAUAUUUUAGGAACUUUGCACUCGAUCGAAAGGGAACAUUUGUGCCACCAAGUACUAACAAUAACUGUCCAUAGUUUUGCAUGCAUAGACACUUUUUUUCCCGGUGUUAAUAGAUAUUUUCGGACCAACUUGAAAGCAAUUAUUAGAGAUAUCAAUUCAAUCUGAAUUCAAUAUGCAUACAUAUAUAUUACUUUUUUUUAUUUUAUAUUAAAUAUUAAAUAAUGUUUAGGAAAUAAAAAUCUAAAUGGAUCGAUGAAUAUAAUAUUAGUUUCUAAAUGAUGCAACAUAGCUAGAAGAAACUGAAGGUUAUGAGUGGACCUGAUAUAGCUAGAUGAGGGUCAAACCACCAACAAAUUACAUAGAUGACUUAACAUUUAUUUUUAUGGUUUAAUAAGAUAGGAAUAGGUUCAAGAAAAAAAUAUAGUCAUGCCAAACCAAUAAAGUAUCUAAAAGAAGCCAUAACUUGUCAUCCAAUCGUCAGAUAAAUCUCAAAUUUUUACUUAGAUUCCCAAAGCCCAUCUCUAUGGAGGAGCUCUUUGGCAAUCCAUCCUCUAAAUGGAUUUCCUCAAAUUAAGAUGAGAAGAUCCGGCUUAAGCCAAUUUUUUUGUUGUUUUUUUUUUUUUUCAAAAUUUUAUGUUUUAUCUCGGAUUUUCCAUUAUUUUUCAAAUUAAAGAAACCGAGAUAAAAUACCCUGAAUCUUCUUUCAUAAUUUGCUUUCGAGAAGGUGUAGUGUUUUUGCUACUUUUACUUUUGGACCUGACUUGAUUCCUGACCGGUAGAAACAGCAUUAGUCCAAAAGCAGGGAAGCUUUUGUUUUCUUUAAUCACAUGAUCAGAUAUUCUCAUUUAUGCCCAGCACAAAUUCAUAGAAGUGGCUCUAAUGAUUGGCUGACAACAGUUGUUAAUGAGCAGUGUUUGCGUCCCUUAUUUUUCAGUUUACUAAGUAUUUAGAACAUUCAAUUCCAAUCCAAAGUCGAUAAUAAUAAACUCUUGGUGAUGGUUUUGUUAUCGAAAGUGAUCGGACAUCGGACGACAAAAAAACCAGUAAAAUUUCUUGAACACAUCCAAAUCUAACAGUUUUUACUUUUUUUGUGUUUAAAUAUGAUAUUAAUAAACUAUUGAUGAUAAUCUUUUUUUCAUUUUAUGAUGUUUUUAUCGUAGUAGUGAUAAGAUGAAGAAAAGCUAUUGAUUUUUCUCUCAGCAAUGGUUUGUUUUAUCGUACACAAAUGUUGGGUGCUUUUAUUUACAAAAAGGAGUACUGUCUAACAAUAUUCAUUCCACAGCUGUUGUCAACCAAACCUUCCCGAUCUAUAUAAAGGUUGGUUUGGCCUCACACAUAUUAGCCAAGCAAGUAAACCAGCUCGACCUAUAUACAGCUACUUGUCUUGUGUAUUGACUGACAAAUUGUAGUUAACAUGGCACGUCAGGCAGACCGUCUUGCUAAGAUUGGGCUGGAGGGCUUUGCAGCCAGAGAUGAGCACUUCGGCCGGGCCAAGAGGCGGCCACCAGUGCUGAAGGUUCCCUAUGCUCAUCCGACAUAUUACUAUGCAAACCAAAUUCCUGCAACAGAAGUUAUCGACACCAACGAGGCAGCUCAACGCUACAAGGGGAGGGUUUAUCUCGAUUAUCCUAAGGGGAAACCAGUUCCGUUUUAAAGACCUAGUGAUUAAUCACUUAGCUUUCUUGUAUGCAUAACCUCCUCCAGUUGUGUUACCUUUAGUCCUGUACGAUAUUCUCCCUCUGCUAAACGUAUACGAGGAGAGGUUGCUAGAACUCGAGUCAGGAGCUUCUUGUUACUUCUUCAAAUAAACUUUCUGUGAUUUAUAUAUCAUUUUCUAUUUGUAUGUAUUGUCAUAAUUAUCACCUCUUACUUAGCAUGGAAUUGAAAGAUACAAUAUGCUCUUGAAAUGCUUUGAAGCUCUUCAAGGUGUGAUUUCACCGACUAAGUUGGAACUGUACAGAGCUCAAUGAUGAGCCGUAGGAGGCGUCUCUGAUUGUUGCACUGUAAGCAUGAGUGUACGUAUGAAUAUAACCAGCAGAUCCGCAAAGCACAAGUGAUGACAAGCUUCUUAACACGGCUACAUUUAACAGUUUUACCAACGAAAUUUUUUGUCGGUAUUUACUCUACCAUUCCGUCAGCAUGAAUUUUACCGACUGAUUUACGGACGGAAACAGUCGGUCGAUAAAUUCCUCUUGUCAGUAAUUUUAUUAAUGUCGGUAAAAAAAAACCGAUGGUUUUACAGACAGAAAAUGCAAGCCAAUUUUUUUUCCACUGGAAUAUAAAGACAGAAUUAUUUCUUCGGUGAUUGACAGUGGCAUAUGGAGUAAUUUUAUUCCAAACCCUCUAUAAAAUACCGAAGGAAUUAUUCCAUCGGUGAUGUAACAGUUGAAAUGGCAUAUGCAGUAAUUAUUUUUCAACUCUCUGGAAUAUAACGACCAACAAAGUUUGUCGGUAACUCUGUCCGUAAUAAUUAAAAAAUAUAUUUUAUACAAAAUUGUAUAAAAUUCAAGUAUGUGAAAAUAAAUUACCUAUGCUCAUCCGACAUAUUACUAUGCAAACCAAAUUCCUGCAACAGAAGUUAUCGACAGCAACGAGGCAGCUCAACGCUACAAGGGGAGGGUUUAUCUCGAUUAUCCUAAGGGGAAACCAGUUCCGUUUUAAAGACCUAGUGAUUAAUCACUUAGCUUUCUUGUAUGCAUAACCUCCUCUAGUUGUGUUACCUUUAGUCCUGUACGAUAUUCUCCCUCUGCUAAACGUAGACGAGGAGAGGUUGCUAGAACUCGAGUCCGGAGCUUCUUCUUGCUUCAUCAAAUAAAAUUUCUGUGAUUUAUAUAUUAUAAUUUUCUAUUUGGCUGGUCAAGUAUGCAUUGUCAUAAAUAUCACUCUGCUUCCCUGAUUAUUACCUUAUUCACCUAUUACUUAGCAUGAAAUAUUGAAAGAUUAAUGCAGUCGGAAGCACAACAAUAUAGCUGCAAGCAUAGAAAGACAAAAGAUAAACUGAAAUAAUGUUAAAACACUGAGAAUCCUAAAACCUUAUUUCUAAAUUAUUAAUUUGAUUAAGUUUACCUUCUAAAGAGGUUUACAAUCUCUUUCAUAGACUAGAAAAAUAGGCCAAGAUUCGAAACAAAAUCAGAAUCCCAAAACAUAACGGAAAAUAACAUAAAAUUUAAAAAUAAACAAUAAAUCUGCGAAAAUUAAGGAAAAAUAACAAAAUUAUCCCAAAUAAUAACUAAUUAGCCUACUUUAUGGAGAUACAAUGCUCUGAUAACUAUUGAGUUGUUUUUAAUGGGAAAACGGUUUGUAGAAUCUUCUAUAAAAAUUUAAACCUGAUUUAACGGUUAGAAUAUCUCCUGUUAUCAUUAUUUUAGGCUAUUAUUCUGGUCUUGCGUGAUGAUGCUUUCUCUUGGCCUAAACAUCUUUCACUAGUACAUGAACAUAUCUGUUAGUAGUCCGUUUAGGGCAAACAAAUAAUUAAUUUGCUGUUCAAAUGCUUUGAAGCUCUUCAAGGUGUGAUUUCACUGAAUAAUUUCGAGUUUAGAAUUAUCACCUCAUUUUAGAAUUGUCCCGAGCACAAGGAUAAAAUGAUGAGCCAUGGGAAGCGUCUCCGAUAAAGAAAUAAUAAACGGAGUUCAAGGUAAAACAAUAGCUUAGAAAAAAAAAAGUAGAAAUUUACACGAUAUCUAAGAAUAUCAGCGAUCAUGACCAUGAUUGGAUCAUUUCUGAGUUCUACAACCAAAAUUUCCUUCACAUCUCUUUAACUAAGCUGAUAGUCGAUGAAGAUUUAAGGAAAAACAUGAUUCCCAAUCCGAGCCAUAUGAGCAAGUGUAUCUAGUAAAAAUAUCUUAUCUCCCAUGAAAAUCAUAUUAGUAAGCCUCCCUCUGAAGCAUUGCUUUACACAUAUCUUUUACAGAAAAAAGAGAAAAAUGGGAAAUGCUCCGAGUUAUACCUUUUCUUGAUCUUUCCCAAUCCUUCAUUAUAAAUGGGACCCAUCAAAAACAUGAGAUGUGCUUUAACUUCCUCCAUAUUUCAUCUUAGCCUAGAAGGAUAAACAAGAAUAUUAUUGCUUCUGAAACAUAACGAUUGCAAGCAUCGCCUUUCGGUGAACUUUAGAUGACAUGAAACUGCCACAAAUUGGGUCCUAUCCGAGAGAGUUUUCUUUUUCUGCUCUGUUAUCACACAUAUACAACUGAAAUCUUUAAGUCCUCUUUAGGGUAUCCCUGAAAGAAAAUGAUCUAUCAUGCAUGGAAAGUCCUGAGGAAUCUGAGGCAUCACUACAUGAAAUUCAACCAACGGAAUUGCCGACAAACUGUUUCUUUCGGUAUUUUGCGGUGAUAUUUACCGACCGAAUUACUUCCCUUGCUAAAACCGUCGGUAUAUAUCGAGUGAAUCCCAGAUAGAAUAUAAAGAAUUUUAAAAAACAAAGCAGUGCAAUGACGUGGAAGUUUUGGUGGAUGAUGUUACUGAUGGAAUUACAGAGUGAUUCAAACUGGGAUGUUCGUACAGUGACGUGUUUACUUCACCGACAGAAUGGCCGAUGGAUUUACAAACAAAAAUAUUAUGUCGGUAAUUCCAUCGAUAAUAGUUAAUAUAUUGAAUGUUUUUUUAGUGUUUACUUGUUUUAUUACUUUUCUCAAACAAACAUGUAGUAUGGAUUUAUAAUUUUGUACUUGGUAUGGUUUGUUUUAGAUUUUGUAAAAUUAUAUUUGUUUGUAAAUUGUUGAAAUUUAUGUCGAAUUACCGACUUAGGUGUGUUGUGAUGAAAUAAAUAAUGACUUGUUUGAUGGGUCCGUUUUAAUUUUUGUCAAUUUUAUUGCCGAGUUGUAAUUUCUGUAAAUUAAUGUGUCUAAAUUUGUAUGGACGUAGAUAAUUGAUAAUGAAUAUUUAAGAGAAGUUUGAAAGUAAGUUGGAAAUCUUGAGCUAAACCAAUAUUUUUGCAAAUUUAUUUGCUUGACGUAGUUAAUUAAUACAUGUUGUCAUCAUUAUUUUAUAGAGGUUUGAUAGAAGUCAUGGAUGAUCAUUCAUGGAUGUAUCGAGAUUCACCUUAAGAAUUGCGGAGGAUGGAUUAUUAUAAUAGGGUUCAGAGUUUUAUUAAUUUCGCAACAUCUAUUUCGAGAAAUUUUAGUGGAGACGGUAUUAAGUGUCCAUACAGGAGGUGUAAAAAUAAAAAGUUUUUGCAUCCAGAUGUUGUAACGAUGUAUCUUCUACACAAAGGGUUCAUGGAGGAUUACUUGUGUUGGUAUGCACACAAAGAAUUAUUUGUUCGUAACAAGAGCAUGGUAGAAAGGAUGGUUGGGUCAACUUCUAGUGCUAGCAAUGUGCAUGGAGUUGUAAAUGACAAUAGUAAUCCUUACAGGAAUAUGGUUAUGGAUUCAAUGAGAAUGAAUCAAGAUAAUGCUAGUCAAUGUCCAAUUGUAGAAGAAGAUGCUAGUCAAUGUCCAAUUGUAGAAGAAGAACCUAAUGCAGACGCGGCCAGGUUUUUUGAUUUGUUGAAAGAUUCUGAUGAACCAUUAUGGGAUGGCUGCACAAAUCACUGUAAAUAAUCAGUUGUUGCAUAUGUGUUCACUAUCAAGUCAGAUUAUGGGUUGAGUGAGGCCGGUUAUGACAAAAUUAUCGAAUGGGCGAGAAGCAUUCUACUUGAAGGGAACAAGCUGAAAGAGAACUUCUAUGCUACUAAGUCCAUGAUGAAACCCCUCGGUUUAGGAUACUAGAAAAUUGACAUGUGUCCAAACUUUUGCAUGAUGUACUACCUUGAAAAUGCUGAGCUAACCGAGUGCAUGGCAUGAGAGCAUUCCCGUUACAAAUCCAGAACUGGCAUGGGAAAGACUCUUAUGGCAUAUAAAAAACUUAGAUACUUCCCAAUCACGCCUAGACUGUAGAGGUUAUUCAUGUCACCAAAGACUACUGAGCACAUGAUAUAGCACCAAUCACUUGAUGCAGUGGAUGGAGUGAUAGUGCAUCCUUCUGACGGUGAAGCAUGGAAACACUUUAACAGUGUGCAUUCUCAUUUUUCAGCUGAAUCAAGGAACGUGCAUCUUGGGUUAUGUACAGAUGAAUUCAACCCAUUCAGGUCAUUUGUUGAUCCUUAUUCUUGUUGGCCGAUUAUACUCACGGUUUACAACUUACCACUCUUAUGGCAACAGUUGCUCCUUCUUCACAAUACUUAUGGAACAAAGACUUGUUAAGUGCUUGACUAACGGACUGUUUUUCUCAAAGCUUUUAGUUUGGUUGACCUGAAACUUUGUUUUCGUAGCAAUCCCCAUCAACGGAAACUACGAUCAAACUGUGUACAAUUUGGUUAUCUUGAAAUCGCAAUCUAGUGAUUUGCUUAAUCCAAAACCAAAAUCAAUGCCAAAGUUCGGUCAACCUGAGAUCCCAAUUUGGCGAUCCGCUUUAACUAGAACUAAAAUAUGAAAAGUAGCUCGGUAACCUGAAAUCCCAAUCUGGCGAUUCACUUUAACCAGAACCUUGGUCUUUGUCGUUAAGUUGGUCAACCUAAAAUCCCAAUACGACGAUUCUCUUUAAUAAGAACCAAAAUGUCGCCUUUAGCUUAGUUAAUCUGAAAUCUCAAUCUAGAGACCCCCUUUAACCAAAACCUUGGUCUUUAUCCUUAGCUCGGUCAACCUGAGAUCCCAAUCUAGUGAUUUCCUUUAACCAAAACCAAAAUGUCACCUUAAGCUUGGUUAACCUGAAAUCUCAAUCUACAGAUCCCCUUUAAUCAGAACCUUGAUCUUUGUCUUUAGCUCAGUCAACUUGAGAUCCUAAUCUAGCUAUUCCCUUUAAUUAGAACAAAAAUGUCACCUUCAGCAUGGUUAACCUGAAAUCUCAAUCUAGAGACCCCCUUUAACCAGAACCUUGGUCUUUGUCUUCAGUUCGGCAAACCUAAAAUCCCAAUCUGAUGAUUCGUUUUAACCAGAACCAAAAUGUUGCCUUAAGCUUGGUUAACCUAAAAUCUCAAUAUAGAGACCCCCUUUAACUAAAACCUUGGUCUUUGUCUUUAGCUCAUUCAACCUGAGAUCCCAAUCCGACAAUCCUAUUUAACUAGAACCAAAAUGUUUCUUUCAGUUUGGUUAACCUGAAAUCUCAAUCGAGUGACUCCCUUUAAUCAAGCGAUUCCCUUUAACUAAAACCAAAAUGUUGCCUUCAACUCGGUUAACCUAAAAUCUCAAUUUAGAGACCCCUCUUUAACUAGAACCUUAGUCUUUUUUUUUUAGCUCGGUCAACUUGAGAUCCCAAUCUUAUGAUCCCAUUUAACAAGAACCAAAAUAUUGCCUUCAACUCGGUUAACCUAAAAUCUCAAUUUAGGGAACUCUCUUUAACUAGAACCUUAGUCUUUUUCUUUAGCUCGGUCAACUUGAGAUUCCAAUCCUACGAAUCUUGAAACAUCAUCCCCUUCUUAGUCCUACUUUGAUUUGCCAAAAAAAUGGAAAAGAAUGAAUGAUAUGGUGGAGAACUAGACCGGUCUUUACCAUUGGCUAGAACCAACCAUAGGCUGCUUAGAAAGCAACCUUCAACACCUAAAAACAAACCACCACAUAACAACCCUGCAAUUAUCAACAACAACAUCUAGUUCUAGCUACCUAGUCUAUGUCAAAGAAUAGAAUCUGAGGCAACUUUUUGACCAAAAUUCCAUUCUCUAUUAUUCCUUCAAUAUUGGGGUUUAAUGCAAGCAACUUGUUUAUUCGGAUUUGAGAUGUAAAUAGAUUUUAAUUUUGUUAGGAUGAGGUGGUCAGGUUGCGUCACAUUGAUUAUGUCAUGAAGUUAACUAGAGUAAGAAAUAAAGAUAUCAAGUUUCGGAGAGAAUCAAGAUCAGUUAAAGCAAAAAAAAAAAAAAACAGAUUAUGAAAAUAAAUUGGAAACGAAAAGUUUAGUUAUAAGGAAUUAGAUUCACAAACAAAUUUAAGUCUCAUCAAUUCUAGGAAACAAGUUGGAAGGAAUCAAUUUUACAAAAAUUGACCUUCGCACUAGAGAGAACCUUCGAGCCACUUCAAAUGUACUGAAGGCCAUUUGUUUGCCAUAUGUGCUAAUUAAGAACAUAAUUCUAUUCUUUUGUGAGUUAAUAUUCUGUAAAAUAAGCUUGGAAUAGCUUGCGGGGGCUUGGCUCAGAGAUCAUUGAGUUUUUACUACAAAUUGCCUUUUAAUUUUUUUCCACCUGUAAUUGGAUUCGAUAAGUUUCCCUUUUGUUUACAUAUGAAGAACAAACAUUGCUUGAGGUUAUCCAAUGCCGAGAUCAAGGUCAGAUAAUACUAGCGAACCCCUAAUCAGGAUUAAGAAGCAAAAAAAAUGUUAAGUGCAGCUUAUCCAAUGCCGAGACCAAGGUCAGAUAAUAUCCUGAUUGUGCUUAUUGCCAUUAAUUAGAAACUGCAAUAUCGUCACAUAAUUAAACUGAGAUUAUUCUGAUUAGAGAACAGAAGGAAUCUUCUUUCAUAAUUGGCUUUUGCGAAGGUUUAGUGUUUUUGCUGCUACUGCUUUUGGACCUGACUUGAUUCCUGAUCGGUCGAAAAAGCAUUAGUCCAAAAGCAGGGAAGCUUUUGUUUUCUUUAAUCACAUGAUCAGAUAUUAUAAUUUAUGCCCAACACAAAUUCAUAAAAGUGGCUCUAAGAUUGGCUGACAACAGUUGUUAAUGAGCAGUGUUUGCAUCCCUUAUUUUUCAGUUUACUAAGUAUUUAGAACAUUCAAUUCCAAUCCAAAGUCGAUAAUAAUAAACUCUUGGUAAUGGUUUUGUCAUCGAUGGUGAUCGGACGACAAAAAAACCAGUAAAAUUGUUUUAUAUAAAAAGUUUAUUAAGUAUUGAAAACAUCCAAAUCUAACAUGUUUUACUUUUUUGUGUUUAAAUAUGAUAUUAAUAAACUUUUGGUGAUAUUUUUUUUUUCAUUUUGUGAUGCUUUUAUCGUCAGUAGUGAUAAGAUGAAGAAAAGCUAUUGAUUUUUCUCUCAGCAAUGGUUUGUUUUAUCGUACACAAAUGUUGGGUGCUUUUAUUUACAAAAAGGAGUACUGUCUACCAUUAUUCAUUCCACAGCUGUUGUCAACCAAACCUUUCCUUUCUAUAUAAAGGUGGCUUGGCCUCCUACAUAUUAGCCAAAGCAAGAAAACCAACAAAACCUAUAAACAGCUACUUGUCUUUGUGUGUUGAUUAAUUGUAGUUAACAUGGCACGUCAGGCAGAUCGUCUUGUUAAGAUUGGGCAGGAGGGUUUUGCAACCAUUGAUGAGCACUUCGGCCGGGCCAAGAGGCGGCCACCAGUUAUGAAGGUUCCCUAUGCUCAUCCCACAUAUUACUAUGCAACAGAAGUUAUCGACAGCAACGAGGCAGCUCAACGCUACAAGGGGAGGGUUUAUGUCGAUUACCCUAAGGGUAAACCAGUUCCGUUUUAAAGACCUAUUGAUUAAUCACUUAGCUUUCUUGUAUGCAUAACCUCCUCCAGUUGUGUUACCUUUAGUCCUGUACGAUAUUCUCCCUCUGCUAAACGUAGACGAGGAGAGGUUGCUAGAACUCGAGUCAGGAGCUUCUUCUUACUUCUUCAAAUAAACUUUCUGUGAUUUAUAUAUCAUUUUCUAUUUGUAUGUAUUGUCAUAAUUAUCUUUCUUACUUCCUCAUUAUCACCUCUUACUUAGCAUGGAAUUGAAAGAUACAAUAUGCUCUUGAAAUGCUUUGAAGCUCUUCAAGGUGUGAUUUCACCGACUAAGUUUGGAACUGUACAGAGCUCAAUGAUGAGCCGUGGGAGGCGUCUCUGAUUGUUGCACUGUAAGCAUGAGUGUACGUAUGAAUAUAACCAGCAGAUCCGCAAACCACAAGUGAUGACAAGCUUCUUAACACUGCUGCAUUUAACAGUUUUACCAACAAAAUGUUUUGUCGGUAUUUACUCUACCAUUCCGUCAGCAUGAAUUUUACCGACUGAUUUACGGACGGAAACAGUCCAUUGGUAAAUUCCUCUUGUCAGUAAUUUCAUUAAUGUCGGUACAAAAAAACCCGAUGGUUUUACAGAUAGAAAAUGCAAGCCAAUUGUUUUUCCACUGGAAUAUACAGACGGAAUUAUUUCUUCGGUGAUUGACAGUGGCAUAUGGAGUAAUUUUAUUCCAAACCCUCUAUAAAAUACCGAAGGAAUUAUUCCAUCGGUGAUGUAACAGUUGAAAUGGCAUAUGCAGUAAUUAUUUUUCAACUCUCUGGAAUAUAACGAC